UAAAACUGAUUUCUAUCCAAUCAAUAUAUAAUCUUUUUUAUUUAAAUUUGAUUAGUAGAGGGUUGUUUAGCCAUUUUUAUAUAUUAUACAAUAUAAUUCCAAGAUUAAACAACUAGAUUUAUGGAAACAAAAUUAAAUCAUUGAUUGACUAUUAACUAUUUCACGUCUUCUCCCUUUCAUAUCUAAAGCUCCAGCGAAUCCUAGACUUGAUUCAUGCAACCAUCUUGUUCAAUUCACCAGGCUGUGAAAACACAAAGAUCAAAAGGAGAAGGGGAUUGCUCAGAUGUCGGCGCCACCAAAACAUCACUCGCUUCUUCAAAGUCUCACAAAUUCGAUUAAUUCGCAGCUUCAUCUUCUAUGGAUCAUCUUUGAUUUUUUGGAUCUAUCAUCCUUCGCUCAUUGAAAUCUACAAGCGUUGAUAUUCCAGGUGCGUUUUUUCCGAUCAUUUGAUUUUUCUAUCUGAAAAAGUAUCUGAGUCUCUUUCAUUCUUUCUGUCGCUACUAUCAACACAUCAAGCAUGUAUCUCCUUCAUUUUCAUUCUUUAAUUGUUUGAUGUAUUUGCUUGUGUAUCUCAUCAGCCUUAAAUAAAAUCAAAGAAUGGUAAAAAAUGGCGAACAAGAGUAUCUUGUUGUAUGUUUCUGUAGAGAUGUUGCAUGGGGAUUGAACUGAAAACAAGACCUUCAUGUAUGCUAAUGUUGAUUAUGUCUCUGCUUCUGUUGAUUGGAGACAUGACUAAAAUUUCAUUUUUUUGACUUAAGAAUGCUCUGGUGGUGUCAAUUGAUAGGCAUGAGGAUGUACCAAGAAAUAAUAACAAAGCACUAAUGAAAAUUGUAGCUAACCAACCUAUUUCUAUUGCCAUUGAUGUUGGAGAUCCAGAUUUCCAGUUGUAUUCGGAGGUAAAAACUUGAACAAAUCAACAUAAACAAGUUUCUUGAUGUUUUAAGGAACAUAUUUCAAUCAAAUUUAUUAAAGGUCUUUAUGAAUAAAUCAUUUGAAUUUGAAAGAAUGUAUUUUGGUCAAAGAAUUGAAAUACAUAUACGGGUUUUUCAUGCACAGAUUCUUGAAGCUUGAAAGAUCAUAAAUCAAUCAAAGAAUUCAAAUGUAAAACUACAAAUUCUUAUACAAAUUUUAAGAGCAUAUAUCAGUAAAAUAACUUAAAGGUAAAGAUGAGGUUUCAUUAUGCACGCACAAAUUCUUGAACCUUUGAAGAACAUAAAUUAACCAAAAACAAAAAUUGAAAACAUUGUUUUUCGGUGAUGUAACAUGGAGUUUUUACUAGAAAGUGUGGAUAGUGAAGAACUCAUAGGGAGCAUAAUGGGAAGAAAUUGAUACAUUAGAAUGCAAAAAGGAAUAUGUGAUAAAAGAGGAAUUUUGUAGCAUAGCACCGGAAUAGUUAGAAUUGAUAGAUUCUUCAUUGUUAGAAUUCUUUGAUUCUCAAGAUAAUAUUAGAUUGUUUAAAUAAUGUUUACAAAUUUGGAAUUAAUUGUAAUUACUUUUUAUAUUUACCGGAAUAUCUUUUAUUUCUUCAAAGAAUGUUUAUGUUAUCACAACAUUCAUAAAUUUACAUUUUCAAUUUUUAUAUUAUUACUGGAAUGUUUCAUAAAAAAUAACUUUUUAUUGUAAAUAACAAUAAUAAAUUUGUUUCCUAAAAAUUUAAAAUUCAUUAUGUUGUUUCCUUAAAAAAAAGAUACACAAAAUAUCUAAAUUACCCCAAGACAUUUUGAAAUUUGAAAUCUUUAAAAUAAUAAUAAUAAAUGUAAAAAUAUACUUUCACGAAAGAUUUUAUUUUUCACUGAUCCAAUGCUAAGAUUUAGUUACACAGUUACACAAUAGAUGUUAGNNNNNNNNNNNNNNNNNNNNNNNNNNNNNNNNNNNNNNNNNNNNNNNNNNNNNNNNNNNNNNNNNNNNNNNNNNNNNNNNNNNNNNNNNNNNNNNNNNNNNNNNNNNNNNNNNNNNNNNNNNNNNNNNNNNNNNNNNNNNNNNNNNNNNNNNNNNNNNNNNNNNNNNNNNNNNNNNNNNNNNNNNNNNNNNNNNNNNNNNNNNNNNNNNNNNNNNNNNNNNNNNNNNNNNNNNNNNNNNNNNNNNNNNNNNNNNNNNNNNNNNNNNNNNNNNNNNNGGUUCAAAUGAGAACCACAAAAAAUUAAGAACCUUAAGAACCCUCUUUUAAUAAGUAAAUAUGUAUUGUGAAUAUUAUGUUUAAAUUUUUAUUUUUGACUUUUUGAUAAGAAAAGUGCAUAAUCGUGAUUUUUUAGUCUAAUAUUUUAAUUAAUACGUUCAUUCAUAUUUUAAUACAAAACUUAUAUAAACACAAGUUUAUACAGUCCAAUUUACAGUUUAAUAUAAAAAAUUCACAACUUAAUACAACCAUUUUUACAAUAAUUCUCAAAUUCUGGAAAAUCAAACUCAAACUCUACCACCACCACAACCACCACAUGACGCCACUAACCACAUCUACCAACAUUUCAGCAAUUCUUUUUUUUUUUUCAAGUGAGGUAUGUAUAUAAAGUCAUGCAAAAACAUGUUAAAUACUACAUUCACAGUUUAAUAAACUGAUUAAUUCACCUAUUAAUGCAAAAUAAAUAUAAAUAUUAAUUCAUUCUUACAUACUUAUACAACACAAAAAAUAAAUCUAUUCACAAGAAAUUAAUACAGAAAUUCUUACAUAAGUCAUUUAUUUUUAACACAAAAAUUGCAAUAUGCAGCCAAUUCACAAUUUAAUAUAGUCAAUUAUCGUUUAAUAUAUAAAAUUCAAAGCUUUAUAUAAUUAAUUAACAAUUUAAUACACAAAAAUGUCAUAUUCUUAACUUAAAACUUAUAUUUAUAACUUUAGGUCUAAGGGUUGGUGUUUUUUCAAAGUUUAAUUUACACAAUAUUCACAAUUUAAAUUUAAUAUAAUUUAUUUAAAAUUACAGAAAAUCAUAUAUAUGUAUAAUGAUUCUUUCUUCACAUAUGUCAAAAGUAAAAACUAAAUUCAUAAAAAAUUCACGACUUAAUAUAGUUAAUUCAUAUCUUAAUACAACCACUUCAUAGUUUAAUAUACAAAUUUCACAACUUAAAAUAAUAAUUCAAGGUUUAAUACUUAAAAAAUUAUAUAUGCACAACUAUAUUCUUUAACUUAAAACUAACAUUUAUAUGUUCAUAUCUAGAGGGAUUUUAUCUAUUAAAUUGUGAAUUUAUUAUACUAAGUUGUGAAUAAAUUUACAGUUUAAUACAACAAAUUCACAGUUUAAUACAAUAUAUUCAUAACUUAUUUACAAGUAUAAUCUCAUAUUUCAGUGUACAAACAAGUAAUUUAUAGUUUUAUAGAUACAUAAAUUAUGUAAUACUUCAGAAGCAAACAUCAAAAGAAAAACAUUUGCAUAAAUCAUAAAAGAGGAUAACUUAUCUGAAAUCAACGAAGACCAUGAGUGAGAAAUAUAACAUCUACCACCACCAUCAACACUGCCAACUACCGUACACUACCAUCAACCAUUGCCACCACCAAGCGUCAAUGCCAACACCGCCAACAUCCUUCCCUAAAAUAUAAGAUCCAAAUGAAAAAAAAUCAGAAUUCACAGUUUAAUUCAACAUUUCAGACACUAAUUGACAACUUAAUUCAAUAUUUUUGACACUAAUUCACAACUUAGUGCAUAAGAAAAUGCAUAUUCACAACUUAAUAACUUACAUUUUCACAAAUUAAUGCAUAAAAACACAUAUUCACAAUUUAAUACACUAAAUUCACAACUCAUUAUAGGUAUAAAAUUCAGAUCUAGAUUAAAAAAAACCAGAAUUCACAGUUUACUACAACAUUUCAAACACUAAUUCAAAGCUUAAUUCAAUAUUUUAGACACUAUUUCACAAAUUAAUGCGUCAAAAAAUCAGAAUUCGUAGUACAAUACAUAAUAUAAACACCAAUUCAUAUCUUAAUACAAAAUUUUAAACAUUUAUUCAUAACUUAAAAACCUAUAGAUUUCGUUAAGGCAUUUCAUCACUCACCUUUUGUGCACAUUGUUUCGAGAUUUGAGGUGAUUUACAUCGUUGAGAUUGUCAUGCUCCUUCGAGUCAAUACCGUCACUUCACAAUUUAAUUAGUCAAUUCAUAGUUUAAUACAUAAAAUUCACAAUUUAAUAUACAAAAUUAUAUAUUUAUAUUUCUCAACUUAAAACUUAUAGUUUAAAACAUUCAUUUAUGGUUUAAUAGAGUAGUUCAAGGCUCUUCAUAUAAUUCAUAAUACAUGUUCGAAACUAUCAUUCACAGUUUAAUAUUUAUCUUUAAAAUCGACAUAAUUAAUCUUAUAUUAAAAACUCAUUUAUUAUACAUUUAUAUAUUUAUGGAGCUUACCGUUUAUUGUAUAAUUAUUAAUAACUAUUUCUUAAAUUCUACAUAACUAAUCCUACAUCAAAAAAUCAUUUAUGUUAUAUUUAUAUAUUUAUGGAAGUUGUCGUUACAUAAAAAUGGUGUAUAAUUAUUUAUAAGAUUCCUAGUUUGAUAUGUCAUACUAAUUAAAUAUAAACAAUGGAAAAAACUAAUUAAAUCUAAAAAAUUGGAGAGUAUACCUCAUUAUGAUGUUUUGUCUUCACUGGCUCCAUCACAACAAGAAAUAUAGAAAAUAGCUAAUAACUAUUCAUAUCUAGAUAUGUCAGCCAAUUGUCGCACGCCUAACAUCCAAUCACCCAUGCGCACACAUACAUCAUGUGAUACAUCAUCUUAAACUGUUCAAAAUGUCUCCAUAACAUUACCAGAGAGUAAUUUCGAGCUCUCACUUCUCACAAAUCUCCAUUUUAUUUUUAACGAUAAUCGUUGAAUAACACAUAAAAUACUCGUCGAAACGGGUCUUUGUCGGAACUCGUGACCAAACAACACACUUGUUCAUGUUGAACUCAUCGGAAAGCCUAAACAGCAGUCGGAACAUCUCGUUGGAAGACGUCAACGGAAAAAACAUCGCUUACUUAGAUGUGUUUUGCACUUCGUCGUUGUUGCUGAUAGUUUAAACGAAAUAGAUAACGGAGGAGCCGACGACGGAGGAGACGAAGACGGAAGAAAUCGUCGGAGGAGAAGACGAGGAAGAGAUCUGUUAGAAAUCGUAGAUCUCGUUCGUCAGAGCUUCUAGAUCUGGUCUCGCCGAUAAGAAGAGGAGGAGGUGAUGUAGGUGACGUGGAGGAGUUUCACUGGAGCCGAUGGACAUCAGUGGUGGCGGCGGCAGAUAAAGGCAAUGGUGGUGUUCGCCGGUGUUAGAGCUUGAACAUGUCAUAUCUGAUAUAGAUUUAGUUGUUUCUCACCUGAGAUCAUGGAGGUGCUGUUAUUCGUGAUCGUUGCAGAGCAUCAUCGAGAAGCAUAUGAAGUGGCGGUGGUCGGGAAAUCAUAGAUCUCAGAUCUAGUGCAACAGUGACCGGAAAAUCGUAGAUCUAGAGGCUACCGGAAAAUCAUAAAGUUGGACAUCGAGAGUGGUGGGGGCGGUGGUAGAACAAAGACAGUGGAGAGAGGUGAUGGCGGUCUUCCGACAGUGGUUCUCUGCUGGUGGCGGUAGUGAUAAAGGCGGUAGACGGAGGUGAUAAAGACGGUAGGUGGUGGUGAUGGAGGCGAUGGUGGUGGUGCUAAUAAGUAGUGUGUGUUCUUCAAAAAAUUGUGUAAGAUUUUGAAAGGAUCUGAUAGAUCCGAUUUUAAAACGUAGUUUUUGUUAAAAUGUAGCUUCUGUGUGUUUUUUUAUUUUUAUAUUAAAUAGACAAAAGUAUCUUUAAUGGUUCGUAAGUUGUUUACUUUUAAUAGGUUGUUUAAUUUUAAUAGUUGUGAUUUUAACCUUUACCUUUNNNNNNNNNNNNNNNNNNNNNNNNNNNNNNNNNNNNNNNNNNNNNNNNNNNNNNNNNNNNNNNNNNNNNNNNNNNNNNNNNNNNNNNNNNNNNNNNNNNNNNNNNNNNNNNNNNNNNNNNNNNNNNNNNNNNNNNNNNNNNNNNNNNNNNNNNNNNNNNNNNNNNNNNNNNNNNNNNNNNNNNNNNNNNNNNNNNNNNNNNNNNNNNNNNNNNNNNNNNNNNNNNNNNNNNNNNNNNNNNNNNNNNNNNNNNNNNNNNNNNNNNNNNNNNNNNNNNNNNNNNNNNNNNNNNNNNNNNNNNNNNNNNNNNNNNNNNNNNNNNNNNNNNNNNNNNNNNNNNNNNNNNNNNNNNNNNNNNNNNNNNNNNNNNNNNNNNNNNNNNNNNNNNNNNNNNNNNNNNNNNNNNNNNNNNNNNNNNNNNNNNNNNNNNNNNNNNNNNNNNNNNNNNNNNNNNNNNNNNNNNNNNNNNNNNNNNNNNNNNNNNNNNNNNNNNNNNNNNNNNNNNNNNNNNNNNNNNNNNNNNNNNNNNNNNNNNNNNNNNNNNNNNNNNNNNNNNNNNNNNNNNNNNNNNNNNNNNNNNNNNNNNNNNNNNNNNNNNNNNNNNNNNNNNNNNNNNNNNNNNNNNNNNNNNNNNNNNNNNNNNNNNNNNNNNNAUAUUGAAAGAUUAUUUCACAACCAUUAUUUAUAUUCUCAUAAUACGAACUUAAAUAUUAUUUAUUCACCAAUAAUAUUUUUUAUACAUUAUUCUUAUGCGGGUGUACCGAAUUAUGCAUACCGAGUUAUGCCGGCGUUAAAACUUACAACCAAAAAGAAACUUCUAGUUAAUCAUUUUUUUUUCUUUUGUCAUGUGUAUGAAGUUGCCUUCCCAAUAACCGAUCCCCCAUUUUUUUUUCUUACUCCUCACAUCUAGAAAAUGGUUUUGGUCCCUCAUUGGAAUAAAGAAGAUAUAGGCUGAUUUUAAUUAUAAAGGUGGCUGCCAAAUUUUUUUUAUUCAUGUUGGGUCUCCAAGGUGAUAAUAUAAAUAGCUUUUAAUCAUAAAAUUGAACAUUAAAUAUCACCUAAAUGGGUGCCAUAGACACAUAUAUGGUAUGCAAUAAAAAUAACAAAGUGGGAUCUUGAUUGUGAUAUUAUUGGGCUGCAAGUUGCAAUAAUGGACUUGAAACCCUUUUAAAUGGACUGCCAAUAGUCACUUAAAUUGACUGACAUUUGCUCAUUUUUUGACAAAUUUACAUUGCUGGUCACAUGGCUCGUAAUAUGCAUCAAACAUAAUCAAAAGGCAAUCUCCAAUGUUCAGAUUUAAGAUCAAUAAGUUGGGACGACAUGUGUAAAAUAUCAGCUCAAUCUGGUCACAUUUACCUUUCAAUCUAACCAUUAGAUUAAGAUCGUGCAGUGCUAUAAAUCUGCAAAAAAUUAAACUUAAAUGGGUAAAAUGGUUCCAAACAAAUGAUGUAAUGAAACUAUGAACUGCAUGCUAAAUAUAUACGAUAUGUUGCGAAAAAUAUUAAGAAUUGUGAAAAUGAUGCAUAAAAAUCAACUUAUCAAUCUGAUAAAUUUAGGAAGCUGGAAUGAUAAAAAUGUUGAAAACUUGAUUUCAAUGGUGAUAUGGAUUUAAGGUGUUAAUUGAUGAUGAAAUGGGUGUUAGAAUAUUGUUUCUAAUUCCUUAGAUUGAACUUAGUCCGGUAGAAAUCAUUCCCCGUGAGCUGAAAGUUGAUUUGAGUAGAGCUCGUGGACAAAAGGAGUUUUUUUUUUUUUUUUUUUUUUUUUUCAAAACUAAACACCAAAAACCAUUCGGGUUUUGUGCAAUGCAAAAUUUACCCGGUUGUGUAAUUUUUUGUCCAAUAUUAUUCAAUUUUCACAUGUUGAUCAUGAUUCCCAUUCUAAAGGGUUCUAUAGGGCCAUAAUACUUUAUAAAAAGAAUGACAAAGUUUUUUUUGGGAUAUUUGAAGGUUAUGUGUGACCUAAUUUGGUCAUCUCAAAUGAAUUAGCAAUGAUUUCUAUUAAAAAUGGGUGUAGGUGUUCAUUUAGCUUUUGUAUGUAUAGAUAAUUAAAUGUUGGAGGUGUUCAUUAAGCUUUCGGGUGCUAGGAGAGCGUUAUGAAUUAACAACGUACAAUAAUGAGAAUGUGAGUACAUAGUAUUUCGGGCACAUGUCCCCAUAUGACAAUAUAUUUUCACUACAUGAGCUUUUUGGUAUCUCUACCAACUAUUAUAUAUACUUGAUUAUACAUUUUACAAGUAAAUGGUUUUAUGGUGAAUUGACUUUAGAAAAAGGACAUCUUUUAAAAUAUUUAUCACUUUUAUAAUACAUAUUGUUUGGAUAUCAAACCAACAAAUGAAAUUGAUAAAAUAACACAAAUAAUAACAAGUCACUACUACAAUAUACUAAGAUAUAAUAUAGAAUAAGUAGAGUCGAACCACUGUGAUACAAGACUUAUUUUUUUUACCAUAUUUCCACAUGACACAUUAUCAAUUAUUAAAACUGGGGGAUUUCUUAACAUCAAUCAAGAAUUCAAGAAUGAAUUGGUUUAACCCAAUAGAUGAAAGAAAUGGAAUCAAUCUUCCAAACCAACUGUUGUGCUAAGAACCGUUGGGUUAAAUUCGCCACUUGCACAUUUAUGGAAACAUCUCGUACAUGGUGGAACAAUCAUAUACAUGCCUUAGGCGUCGACACAACCUACACAAUUUCCUAGGAGGAGCUCAAGAAAGUGCUUGUGGCAGAAUAUUACCCUAUGGACAAAGUACAAAAACAGGAGGAGAUCUCUAGCAUUGAAUCAUGGAAAGAACCUUGGUCAAGAAGGAUGAUAGUACUAGGACUGGGCACAACACAGGAAUUACGAUGAUAAUUCUAGGGAAAACUUAGGACAACCCUCGCGGAAGAAGCAAUACAACAAGAAAGUUAAUACCGUUGCAACCAUUCCACAAAGGCAAUACAAAGGAAAACUCCCCAACUAUAAGCGGUGCAACUAUCACCAUCUGGGUGAGUGCAAAGAGUUAUUUUGCCAUCAUUGUAACAAGAAUGGACAUACAAAAAGGUACUAUCAAAAUAAACUCUAGGUUAAGUGCGGAUAGAAGCGAUGGAUCCUAUGAAUGUAGCAACCCAUGACAUGUCGAGAAGGAUUGCCCAAAAGUAAAGGAAAUCAAGGAAAAAAAAUGCUCGCGGGAGAGAAUUUGGGAUUAUCAUAAAAAUGCCAUCCAAAAUCCGUUCCUACUAACUAGUACGUUCACUUACCGCAAGUAUAUACAAAAUGCAUUAAUUAAAUAACAAUAGAAUUUUGCAACCAUUAAGCUUGGCCACAUAAAAUAGUCUCAAGGAAAAUAUGUGUGGUAGAAAUAGGUAAAAAUCUAUCUAGACAGGAAGUAUUUGAAGAUUUCACGACAAUACUAGUUGAAACUUCGUCAAGCUUAGUAAAUUAAUGAUAACGACUCCCCCAAACCCCAUCACUCCUAUGUAGAAUUCUAAAUACAAGAUUUCAAAAGAAGGAAAGUAUGCGCCACGGACAACAUGAUUACCUGGCACUAAGUUGCCAAGCAGGAAUUUGGGACCAGGUUAAUAAUUCCCUCUUUGGAAAAACAUCUUAAGACUCAAAAAUCAAGACAAACUAAAAUUUGGAAAUAAAGACCAUUCAAAGAGAUUUUCAGAAGAAUGACCAGUGACACGUUUAGUGUAUAAUUUGGCGAACACUAAACUUCACAUCAAAAGAAAACUUUAGGAAAUCGACACAACCAAUAUAGACUAAGUUAUACUUGGAAAGGUGUCAAAAAUUCAGGAUGUGAGGCAAGCUAAAUCCUAGGUAUAUUGGACUGCCUGAAAUUCUAGUUAGAACUGGUCCGAAAACCUGCUAAAUCAAGAUUUGUAACAACCCGAAGUUGUUCAUAGCCGAAAACCCGUUCUGCCCGUAUAACUCGUCGGAAAUCGAAAUGUCCCGAUAUCGUUUUUGGGCUUAGUUAACUAAAAUAAUAUGUUUAUUAUCAUUCAAUGAGGGUCCAAAUCAUUUAGGAACUCAUGAAAUUAGCCCAAAACAUUUAUUUCAUAAGUUUUAGAAAUAUCCUCGUCGGGUGACGGAAACUCAAUCGGGUGCGACCUAUAGCCUCGUUUAAGGCCGGUAUCGGGUAGAGUUCCACCGUGUCCAAGUUUUAGGAGCUAUAUAAACAUGUUUAAGCACUCAUUUGAAGCUUUUUCCUUCUCUCUCUACUCUCUCUCUCUAACAUCUCUCCUAAAUCCAAAGAUUAAGGGUCCAAAACUCAAUUUUAAGGCCUCAAAUCCUUAAGGUACCUUCCUAGCCUUAAUCUAUAGCAUGUUUGGCUUCCAAAUUUAACAUUUAAUCAUGAAAUGGGACCAAAUAUGUGAUUUUACGGCCCAGGAGGCUUCCUAGGCCGUAAACACCAUUUUGAAGGGUUUUAAGCCCUUAAACUCCUUCCUUAACUCAUUUGGACUUUAGAUAUGGCUAAGGGACUUCAAGAUAUGGACUUAGAACAUUUAAAACUUUGAUUUUGAGUCAUUUGAAGGAGUUUAUGGCCAAGGCAUAAGCUUAGGCCGUAAACUCAUGUAAAUGGGGUUUUUCAUGCCCUUAAACCCUCCGAAAUCACUUCUAUGGCUUAGAUAUGAAUUAUAGGACCUUGGUUUUAGCAUUUGGACACUUGAAACAUGAUUUUUGAGGGAUUUAGAUGAGUUUACGGCCAAGACAUAUGUUUGGGCCGUAAACUCCUCAAAACUUGGCAUUAAUCCAAUUCUAAGGUGUUAGAAAGCCAUCCAACACCACCAAAAGCCUUGGAAUAAAUCAAAGGACCAACCAAAAAUAGUUUAAAGGCCUUACACACAUCAUUUGUGGGAUUUCUAAGAGUUUACGGCCAAGGCUUGUUCUUGGGCCGUAAACUCCAUGAUUCAUGGUGUUAGAAUGCUAACUAAACACCCCUAAAGCCUUUAGAUGAAUUUUAGAAGCCCUUCUAUGCAAGUUUUAGACCUUGAAACACCUUGUAGCACCCUAUAGAAGAGUUUACGGCCAUGAGGGGGGUCUCAUNNNNNNNNNNNNNNNNNNNNNNNNNNNNNNNNNNNNNNNNNNNNNNNNNNNNNNNNNNNNNNNNNNNNNNNNNNNNNNNNNNNNNNNNNNNNNNNNNNNNNNNNNNNNNNNNNNNNNNNNNNNNNNNNNNNNNNNNNNNNNNNNNNNNNNNNNNNNNNNNNNNNNNNNNNNNNNNNNNNNNNNNNNNNNNNNNNNNNNNNNNNNNNNNNNNNNNNNNNNNNNNNNNNNNNNNNNNNNNNNNNNNNNNNNNNNNNNNNNNNNNNNNNNNNNNNNNNNNNNNNNNNNNNNNNNNNNNNNNNNNNNNNNNNNNNNNNNNNNNNNNNNNNNNNNNNNNNNNNNNNNNNNNNNNNNNNNNNNNNNNNNNNNNNNNNNNNNNNNNNNNNUGAAGUCAUUUUGCACCAUAAACCACCCUACCAUGAGUUUACGGCCGUAAACUCAUGGGGAAUGGGUGUUUUAGACCAAAAACUCUUAUAUUAGUUUACUCAUGGGGAGUAAACUCAAGUCCCAAGUCCCUAGUGUCAUUUCACGUCCUUAAACGCCACCCGGGUCCCUCCAAACACUUGUAUCGGAGUGUUUUCGCGACUUGAAGCAAGUGUCCCUAUCAUAUGAAUAAACUAAGUCCUAAUUAGAUACAAAUGUGUAUCUUUACAUUAUAAUUAGGAACCUCGUGUAUUUACAAGCCCCGGAUCAACUCUUAGCAUCCAAAUCGUCAUACUUCUCGUCCGGUGAGUUCAUACCCCUACGCCUUUUUCACUGUUUUUAACUGUUUUCAGGGGGGAAUACAAGCAAACUAUAACUAUUUUCGAAUCAUAACAUUUAUGAGUUUCAAAUAAUAUCUGGCAAACUUAUAAACUCUUUUACUCCUUAUGUAUUAUGUUGAGCAUAAGGAAUGAUUUAUCAAUUUCAACUAAAUGGAUUUUAGUUAGAGUAAAUUACACGAAUGGUCCUUGUGGUUUGGGGUAAUUUGCACGUUUAGUCCCUAACUUAUUUUUUUAACUCGGAAGGUCCCUAUUGUUUGUUUUUGUUACGCGUUUGAUCCCUACUGUUUGUUUUUGUUACAUGUUUGGUCCCUAUCUUACCUAAAAAGACUAUUAUUUAAAUAGGAAAAAAUGAUGGGGUAAGUAAGGUAAGGUGAAGGAUGUGGGAUUGGGGGUGUGUUUAUUUAAAUAAAUAAAUAAAUCAAGGGAAAAAUAAUACUUUUAGGUAAGUCAGGGACCAAGCGUGUAACAAAAACAAACAGUAGGGACCUUCCGAGUUAAAAAAAUAAGUUAGGGACCAAACGCGCAAAUUACCCUAAACCAUAGGGACUAUUCAUGUAAUUUACUCUUUUAGUUAAGAAAAUAACCAAACUAAUCAAAUUAUUAUGAGAAUAAUUUGGGGUUCUAUAAUUAUCUGUAUUAAGUUAUUAGAUAAACUAUGUCUGAUUCAGUUUAUCUCCGUAUCAUUCGAAUGUUUUGCCAGAUAGUUUCGUUGUAUGUAUCUAUUUUCACUGUAUCAUGUCUUAAAGUCUUUGUAUGUUUGUUAUCGUAUGAGAAUCCUGUGAAUAGUUUAAUACUAGCUUGUGAGAUAGUCACUACCCUUUAUGGAUGAUCAAGUAAAUCCUCUCCGGAAGUGUAACCAGAGUCUCCUGGAGGGAGAGCGAGGAAUUUGUGAAUAGAUCUAUUCGGGACUGACAAUCCCACACCUUAACUGCUAGCUACAGUUAGGCGGGCACGCCUGGGGUGACAAAUUCUGUAUAUCGUCCGACGUCUGACUAACGUCAAGGAGGUCUCGUUGUCGUAUCAGUAUGGUUACCCGACUCACAAUACGUAUUAAUAUAAACUUAUUCACAGCUAGGAUUUUGUUUAGAAUCUAUAUCUUGUUCGGGAUGAUAAUCCCAUGGUCUUGUAUCUAUAUCUCGUUCGGGAUGGUAAUCCCAUGGUUUUAUGUCUAUAUCUCGUUCGGGAUGAUAAUCCCAUGAUCUUGUGUCUAUAUCUCGUUCGGGAUGGAAAUCCCAUGGUUUUGAAACUAAAUCUUAUACGGGAUGAUAAUCCCAUGAUUUUAUCAAUCUAUCAUAUAUCUAGUUUCGGGAUAGUGAUCCCAUGGUUUAUCAAGCUAUCUUAUAUCUAUUUUCGGGAUAGUGAUCCCAUGGUCUUUAUCGAAUUAUCUUAUAACUGGUUCGGGAUGUUAGUCCCAAGGUUUUCAAAAUACUUUCUAUUUACAGUUCGUCUAAAUUAUAGUUUUGUAUAUUAAACUAUACUAUGUGUUAUUCAAUAAAUCUUGCAUUUAGGAAAAUAUGGGAUUUUCCUGGGGUUAACUUAUAACUUGUAACAGAACUGUAACGAAAGAUAACUUAACUACUUUACAUAAGAAAAUAUGGGAUUUUCUUGGAUAUCAAACCUUUUCAGAAAACUAAAGGAAACCGAUACAUUUUCACAAAACAAAACCGCUUAUGAACUCACCAGCUUUAUGCUGAUUUUCAAACUGCUUGUAUUCUCAGGUCCAAGUUAGACAGGUACCCGGCGAUAUCUUUUGGUGAAGACGGAGUGCUCCGAAGACUCGUCUCUUUUGUUCAUAUGAUAUAUGUAUAACUUUUGUACAAUUUACUUUUGAACCAAAUGUAAACUUUCAUAUAUAUGUAAUGUAAUGGUUGUUUACUGUGAUUACUAUGUACAUUGGAUUUGAUACACAACAUGGAGUCAACCCCGGGAACGUUUCCGCCUUUGGUUUUCGGGGUGUGACAAGAUUGCCUCAACAAUUCAAUAAUGUAAAUGAUAUUUUCUACCCACCAAUCUCAAGAGUUGCUGUCUGAUAACACUCUUGCCAUCCCUUUCGAUGAAACUCUAAUCAACUCUAACUAGGAAAAGAGCUAAUUCAAGGUAAACUGAAAAAUCGCGUCUUAGAAUGUUUGACUCCGCUUAAUUUCUCGUUUCCAUGUGGAAUUGUAAGCUUGGAAAUAGGAACAAAUCCAAUAGUCUAACCAAUCGCAAGAAUAUAUACGACUUAGGUAUACCGAUUAUAAAAGGACCCUAAGGAAUUAAUUCAUUCAACUAUAAUGAGGGAAACCAUAUUAAUAUUCUGAAAUUAUCAAAGCGUAUGCUUAAAGAUUGCAUAAAAAUAGGAUUCUAUAAUAUUAGAAUGCCAAAUUCGCCUUAUCCCUCGUUCCUUUUUUGGUUGUGGGCAAAAGGUAGAACCUUUAAUCAGAUCACCUACUCAACCUUGAAUUAUAUACGAUUUGCAUACACAAGGCGACUAGAUUAUAACCAUACAAAGAUCAAAUGUAACAAGAUUACCCCCAACUACUCAAUAGUGCCUUUAUACCAGGACUACAAGAUGAAUUUUGGGACAAAAUUCUUUCAACAUGGGAGAAUGUGACGACCGUAAAGAAUUGGUCAACAAUCACAAAUGCAACGAUCAUCGAUAAAACGACCUAAUGUGUAAUGUUUGAUCAUUUUUAAUGAAAAUAGGCAUACAAAAAGUUUUAUUAUUUUAAAAUUAAUAAUAUACUCGGAAAGUAAAUGUUAACGCAAUUCCAGAAAUAUAACAAACGCAAAAUCUGACUUCGUAUGAGGAAGUUAUAACUUUUCCAAGUUUUAAAAUCUACCGCGAACAAGAAUGUGUGUAAUUGUAAAAAGGUAAAGGAAAAUUGAUUGAGAUUUAGCCAAAACAAUGUAAAGGAGAAUCAUAUAACUCCUUAAUAAAAAACCGAUGAAGCAAGGAACACCGUAAACGAAGUCUGUACGAGAGAGUUAUGAGUUUUUAAAGAUCAUUUAGGGUACACCUCUUGCCAAAAUAUGGGCUAAAAAUAAAGUCCAAAUUAGCCAAAACAAUAUAAAGGAAAGUUGUAGUAAUCAUCAAUAACUAUGUGUGGAUAUAAAGAAAGUAAAAAACGGAGCUCGUAUGCAAAAUAUAUGAUUUAUUGAAAAACGAGGAUUUUAUCUAUUAAGGAUGAUGUGGCACAAGCAAAAUGUGCCACAUGGCCACAUGACAUUCAUGGAUUUCCACCGACCAACUGACUUGGAUGAAUGAGUAAUUGACAUGUAGUAGCUCUCAGGUGGAGCCAUAGGCCGAAGCGUGACACGCCCCUAAUAACCACACGACGUGCUCCUUAGAGACCUUACUAUAAAUAGUAAGGUUGCACCUUGUAUUCUGACACCUCAAAUCCCUGUUCUCCCUCUCUUAACCUUCGAUUUGAGAUAUUCCCUUGACCUGAGUGGUCUCGAGACUCCCGACGCCUACAACUAUAACACGAGAAGCAUGUUAAGAUGUGAAGUCAACAUCACCUACAGAAUAGUAAUGUAGUUUGUAGCUAGAUGUUUGAGGCACAAAUUAUGGUAAAGUUUGAAUAUUUUUGUAAUCACUUUCAGAAUUUAUAUUAUCAUAUUUUAUGUUAUACUUUUGUACUAUAAAUUACAGGGUCGGUACCCUAACUCCCGACACCUCAGAGCCCUGAUCUCUCUCUCUUAACCUUUAAACUAAGAUCUUCCCUCGACACAAGUGGUCCUAAGCCUCCUGAAUCCUACAACGAUAACACUAGAAGCCUGUUAGAGCAUGCGUCAAGGGUGCAUUUCACAAGAUAUAAAAGUUGCACACCUAAAAGUCAAGAUGUGAAAUCAACACCACUUAUAGAGUAGUAAUAUAGGUUGUAGCUGGAUCUUUAAGGUGUAGAUUAUGGUAAACUUUGAAUAUUAUUGUAAAAAUUUCAGUAUUUAUACUAUCAUAUUUUAUGUUAUACAUUUGUACCAUUCAAUGUAUGUUUUAAUGACUGUAAUCAACAUGAUGUCGCACAUCUCGACGUUUCUGUCGCCGGUCAGGGGUGUGACAUUUGGUGACCUUCUCCUUCUUCUUAGGUUGUGGGUUUUGGGCAGCUUUCUUACCUUUUCCCUUACCAGCUUGUGGCUUCACUUUGAAGUCUUUACAUGCUUCUUCUUCUUGACUUGUCCUUCCCAUAUCAUGGGCACUUGGGGAUUUCCCUUGGGUUGUUUUUCUCUAUAGGUUUAAGCAUCCCAUGUAACGCAGAGAUAGGCUUAUCCCACCCAUUCAUGCUGUAGUUCAUGAAUAAAGUAUCAUAAGACUUGGGAAAUGAGUUCAAAAUUAAGUGUAUGGCCAAGUCUAGUGGAUAUGGAGAGCCUAAUCUCUCCAAGUGAUCCAUAUAGCUUUUCAUCUUGAGCUCGUGUGCACUUACAUUCCUAGUGUCCCGCACCUUACAACCAUAAAGGGCUAGAAUAGUUUCAAUCCUCUCACUCCUAACUUAUUGACCAAAACAUCUACUUGAGAUGUUCAAUCAUGUCAAAGGCAGUAAAGAGUUCCAAAUCUCACUGAAGAUCAGUAAUCAUGGUGGCAAUCAUGAUGCAAGAAACAUCAAGUGAAUCAUCCACAUGCUUAAGCCAUGCAUCAUGAGCAGCCUUUAGAAUAGUAAGUAAUUCUUCGGGGAUUUGAUUUUCAAGGACAUAGUCUUUCUUUUCUUGUUUCAAAACGAUUCUUAAAUUUCAAAUGCUCAUUGAGUGAUGGUGUGUUAUAGUAGAGGUGGAUCUGUUGGGUCAAAACUAUGGUUUAUACUUUACUUUUCUAGAAAAUGUAUUUUUGUGUCUUGGACCGUAAACAACUUGGUGUUUAUGGUCAAAUACGUGUUUAUGGUUGUGUUUACGACCGUAAAACAAUUCAUAGCCCAUGUUCACCAAGCCCAUGUUUCUUAUGUAUAAAUAUAGGUGUUAGGGGUGACGAAUAGAGUGAUGAACAGAAAAGGAAUGUACGGCCUAGAGAGAGAGAGAAAAAAGUGUGUGUUGUGUGUGAAUCUUGUAUUUGGAUCUACAUUCUAAUCAUCAAAUAAUACAAGAUUCAUCAUCUUCUUCUUCUCGUUUUCUUCUAUUUGAUCUGAUAUCAACCGUUUGAUUGGGAUUCUGCACCAUCAAACGAAUCUGAUUGAUACACAGGCAUUUCAGGGACUUACAAUUGGUAUCAGAGCUUGGAUUGUAUCAGUCAAUUUUGUCAGAUCUGGAGCUUAUUUGAUCUUAUUUUCAAAAUAUUCUUGCGUUUUGGAUAGAUCUCUGAAAAAUAAGGGGGGUUUGUUCUUCGCGUUUUUUCAUAAAAACGGGUUUUUGAUCGAGUUUUGGAGCAAAAAAUGGCAAAAAUCACUGUUUUUGGUCGUAACCUGCGAGGGGGUGGCGGAAUUUGAGGCCAACAGCUAGGGUUUCCAGAGUUCACGGCCCAAGGUUCACGGUCCGAGAUUACGACUCGGAGUUUACAGCCUCGGUUUGCGGUCCUCGGUGGUUUACGGCUCAGCAACGUUUACGGCCUCGUCCUCGCAUCGCUUCUCAGCCUCGCAAUGGAUCUGAAGUUUGUAGCAGCAUCUUCCUUCGUAUAUUAAAAAAGGGGGAACGGAUUUGGGCAUUUUUAAAUUUUAGUUUGACGUUUAAGUUUUAUUUUAGCUUCGAGUUUUUCUUUUAAUGGUUUUUGAGGCCAACAAGGGAAUUGAAGACAUGAAAGAGAAUCGUCAAGAGAUGUGAAAACAAAAUUUCAACAUGUUCAACUACAUUCCCGAAGAAACCCUAGAAGCUCAGCUGCAACGAUUUACCACACUCACUACUGAGAUGAAUAUAGUUGGGAUCUUCUUAACCAAAUCUGAGAUAAACAAAAAGCUACUGGAUUCACUUCCAAAAUCAUGGGAUAUGAACGUAGCUGUCAUCAAGAAGACAAAAGAUCUCAAUCAUCUUAGUCUUGCUGCUGUAAUUGAAGAGUUUGAUGCUUUGAAAUGUGGAAAAACAAUGAGUUCCACAAACAUCCUGGUCAAUGAAGUUUCAUGUACUCUAUCUUGUGAAGAUACGAUUAAAAUUCUUCGUGAACAUAAUGAUUUGCUAAAAAGGGAAGUCAAGGACCUAAAAUACGAAGGAUAUCAACUUAGGAAAGGACAGAAACCCCUGAAGGCUGAAUUAGAAGUAAAAACCAAAGUCUUUAGGAAGCUUCAGGAAGAGUAUAACAACAAGUGUGAAAAUUAUGACUAUAUUAAGAGACAACUUGCUGCUGUAACUAAAGAACUUGACACUUUGAAAAUAAAGUGUGGAAAAACAGAUGUUAGUUUCAAAAAUUAUACUGCGUCAAGUCAGACAAUCUAGUCCUUAUUUGAAACCCAAUUAAAAUUCAAAGAUAAUCAAAACAAGGGUCUAGGGUAUGAUAGUCUUCCUCCACCUUUCAAUUAUAACUAUACAUCCAUCCCUAUGACACAGGAAGAAAUUGACAAGGAGGCACAUCUUCAAUAUAGCAAACCAGCUGGAUUUGUGUCAGGAGGUAUUCAGGUUGAAAAUACUAAUGUUUCUACUUCAUGUGCAGGUAAAGUAGCAGAAGAUGAGAACAAGGAGAACACUACUGAACAAACCAAUGACUCCUUGAACUCAGAAUCUGUUGCUUCGAAUUUUGUUACUCCUAACAAACCUGCCGUUGAGAAAUAUAGGCCUCCAAUUCUAGCGCAACAGAGUGCUUGUUGCAAGUGUGCACGUGGGAUCAAUAAGAGACAAGGCAUGGAUAUGCCACCAGGGGCAGGAAGAGACAACUUCCCAGCGAAGAAAAAGACAUGUUUUCACUGUGAAAACGCCUGGACACAUUGCCAGAAAUUUUCCUAAUCGCGCAUACGUUCCUUACUACGCAAAAGGAUGGCAAAACGCGCCAAGUGGGAGAUACUUUAAAAGAAACCCUUCUAGGUCACGUUCAGACAAUGGUGACUGGAACGCGCAGAAGGCCAAGAAUCAAACCCACCAGGCCAAGAAUCCGAAUCCCAAAGGCAAGAAGGGAAUGUCGGCCGAGAAGCCCAAUCCCAGAGAUGCUCCAUUAAAACAAAGACCGGUUAGGUCAAAGUCAUCUCAACGGACGACAUCAAGAUCAAAAGCAAGUACUAAGCCACCCAUAAAAUCGAAAAAGAAAUGGGUUAAACCCAACUACAAAUGGGUUCUGAAGGCUCAAUCUCCCAAAUCUUCUAACGAUUCUACUAUUUCUACAUCUUCUGUUUGUGAUAAAUAGGAUAUGUUGUGGGAGAGAGUAUCGUGAAAGGAUGAAAAAGGUUGACCCAGUUUCAAAAUGGAUUGGGUUCCAAAGACCAACUAAUCCCGCUCUGUGUCGGAGCAAGUAUAGAGGUAUAUCAUCAGACUUCGGUCUGUUGGGAGUGGCUGUUCCAGGCACAUGAUAGGGGACACCUCUCAAUUAUACAACAUUCAGACCUAUAUUUGAGAUUAUGUGUCAUUUACGGGAAAGGAAAGAAGGGAAUAAAAGAAGGGAUCACAUGGGGUUAGUGCUUAAUGACAUGAGGAAUUUUCGGAUCUGUUCUGAGAUUAUGUGUGCUGUUCUCAGACCUUCUGGAUGCAAAUUCAAUCGGUGAAUUACGAUUUGAUUUUUCUUCUCUAUAUUCCUGAGUUUAUCUUAAUCUGAUUCAUUUCAAAGACAAUUUUUUAUUUUCUUAUAGUUUUUCGUUAGUAGGUAUUGUUUGGGAAGUGAUAUCAAGAAAGUGAUAACGGGCAGUCUAAAACAUGUGUAAAGGACUGAAUCUGAAUUGUCUAGACUCUGUGUUCAAUGUGCUGGUAGGCACGAAGGAUUUGAAAGUGUGGAUUUAGAUAGGAUUGUUUGGACUGACCAUACGACGCUCGGGUAGAUUGAGCAGUGAGAUAAACACGGGAACCUACAUGAUACACUAAAUUAAUACGCAUCUAGAACAAUGGUUCGAAUUUUCCUUGCGUACGGACUUAUGUCGUUAAUUCUGGUUCUGAUAAGGCAACUGGGGGGUUCUGAUAAAGUAGGUCUGUAGGAAAUUAUUUUCUUACUUUCUAUCUGUCAGUCAUAUGUUGCCUCCUCUGCGUGAUCGGAAGANGAUCCGACCUGGAUUGCAACAUAUGCAACUCUAUUUCUACACACCUUCUUAUCUAUGAAACUAUCUUUAUCUGUUAGUCAUAUGUUGUCCCUUUUGCGUGAUCGGAAGAUCCGACCUGGGACACAGCAUAUGCAAAAUUCUACCUCUCAAUCCUUCUAUCCUAGUUAGGCAUAUGUUGUCCCCUCUGCGCGAUUGAAAUAUAUCUGCCCUGGGACACAACAUAUGCACCCAUUUCUAAAUCUGACUUCCUCCUUAAUACUAAUUUACUCUCCUAAAGUAAGGAGUUCUUUGGAAGUUCUUGAUAACCAGGGUAUAUCGGGAAGUGGGGAACAUGUUCUAGUGCAACUAAAAUCGAACCAUUUAGAGGUUGUCUGUAGAUCUCGCUGCUUAAUUUAAGUGGACAACAAUACCCGUGGUCGUCGUCAGCUAAAUGGAUUAUUUAGAAAAGUUUAUCACUAUCCUUCGUGUUUAAGUGUACCACAAUACCGACAAUUGACCAGAUCUAUUCAUGAAGGUGAAGGUUCUGAUAAACAAGUUUAGGCUGACUCACAACUUUGAUCCCAAAUAUUUUUCUUUCUGUUAAAUUUGUUCAUAGUUUUCCUCUAUGCACAAAUUUAGGGGGACAGUUAAAAACAUUAAAAAAAAUCAAAAAAAAAUUCAAAAAUCAAAUAAAAAUCAGAAAUUUUUUUAAAAAAAAUCAAACAAAAAUAAGAAAAUCAAGAAAAAAAAAUAGUGUUAUUUCUGUUUUGUUUCUGUUUUAAGUUUUCUUUUAGUUUUGUUUUGUCUUGGAAAGUGAUUUUAGGUAUAGAUAAGACUCGUGGAGACUUUAUUGAAGAUUUUCUGAGUCAAGGCUUCAUCCGUGAUCAUCGAAGAAUUCUCAUUCGAAGGAGCAAGAAAUGAAGAUUAUUCUUUCAACAUUCAAUUUUUCUACCCCAGAAGCAAGGUGAAGCUGAAAUUGAAGGUUAUGUGACUGAUUGCAUUGAAGCCUCCUCAACCAGUCUGUUGCUAUCUUAAACCUGCUGAAGUGAUCCAGAAGAUUUGUUCUCUCUGAUGUUCUCUCUGAAGAUUCUCAAGCUGCAAGCGCUAUCUUUCAAGAAUCAGUACGUCAAGCCUCCUCACCUAAUGGGCGUUCAAUGUCAAAUUCUACAGAAAAUCUCAAGUGCUCAAGAUGAAGUCAUUCAUUGAAGAUUCAUCAACUUCAUCUUGAAGUUGUGAAGAAUUUAAGAUAAAUGCUGAAGCCAAUCUCCCAAUGAAGAUUAACAAGAAAAGCCAACUACUUUUUAGGGGGAGCUUGUUGGGUCAUUUAGAAAAGAAAGUUAUAAACCAAGGGGGAGAUUGUUGGGUCAAAAAUAUGGUUUAUACUUUACUUUUCUAGAAAAUGUAUUUUUGUGUCUUUGACCGUAAACAGCUUUGUGUUUACGGUUGUGUUUACGGCCGUAAACAGGUUUACGGUCGUAAACCCAUUCACGGCCCAUGUUCACCAAGCCCAUGUUUCUUAUGUAUAAAAUAUAGGUGUUAGGGGUGAGGAAUAGAGUGAUGAACAGAAAAGGAGUGUACGGCCUAGAGAGAGAGAAAAGAGUGUGUGUUGUGUGUGAAUGUUGUAUUUGGAUCUACAUUCUAAUCAUCAAAUAAUACAAAAUUCACCAUCUUCUUCUUCUCCUUUUCUUCUAUUUGAUCUGAUAUCAUUCGUUUGAUUGGGAUUCCGCACCAUCAAACGGAUUUGAUUGAUACACAGGCAUUUUAGGGACUUACAGGAUCCAUCUACAAAAUUUUAACAAAGUCUUUAUUUAGUAUUUAAUUCUUUAAAAUAAUAGCCUUUUGUUUCAUUAAAAAAAUAUUUAUUUAAAGUGAGUUACAAAUUAAAUAAUUGGUUAGGUGAUCUUUAUCACAUUCACAUAAUUUUAUCAAGGUAAAUAGCUUUUAUUAAUUACACCACCUUUAAUUCUUAUAUGUAUAAGACUCUUAAUAGUCCAUUUGUUAAUUUGACAUCUUUUGUCUCAUCUAUGCCUUGAAGCACCCUUGCUUAAGUGACCUUUAUCACAAGAGUUUUCCAAUCAAGUCAUUCAAUUACAUAAACUUGUAUAAUUGGCCUAUAACUUGGUUAUAGAAAUCGCAAAAAUACCUUGGCCACCAAAAGAUAAUACAAAUUGUUAGGUAUCAUUUAUCCCACAAGCAUUAAACAAAUGGUGUGAAAAUAUUUAUAAAGUUGAAUAACAUAGACUUUGUAACAUCCGGAAUUCAGAAGGUCAAGAAAGGAAAUAAAAACCCCAAGUCAAGAAGUCUACUCGUCGAGUCCAGGGAGGAGCUCGACGAGUAGGAGCGCAGUUUGGGUCGCGGGUUAAGCGACCUACUCGACGAUUUGGUGGACCGACUCAACGAGUUGGCCAGGGUUUGGGAAACCCUAAAUUCGGUCCUUGUACCCUAUUUAAAGAACACAAGGCCUCUCACUCAGCCCCUUUACUACCCCCCCCCCCUCAAGCCCAGAAACGAAACCCUAGCCACCCAACUCAAUUUCUUGAGCAUUGUGAAGCUAAAGGUUGUUUUGUGGUGCAUAUCUUGGAAGAUUGGAAGCAAAGAAUGAGGAGGAGAGUUUAGAUCCAACAUCUACUUCAGUUUGGCAGCUAAUACAAGGUAAAAAGUUGUUACCUUGAGCAUUCAUUUGAUAGAUCCCUUCAUUUAGAGCUUCAUUGCCUUUUCUAGCACAUUUGUGGCUUGUGAUUGCACGGAGCACGAUCUGACAUUUGCAACUUCAGAUCUGGGCUCUCCAAGGUCCCUAAUGCAUUAAAAUCUCCAGCUUUUGAGGCUUGAACCCCUCCUCCAUAGCAAAACCCUUCCUUGUAGCUUAGUUAUGGAUUUUGGGAAUUAUUCAUAUGUAAAGGUUGCAACUUUACGUGGAAAACAUGCUCUAGGAGGUUGGAUCUACCUUUGGGAGAAGCUGUUUUGCUUGGAAAUCGUCUGAAUAGAGUUGUACCUUAGGGGACUCGACGAGUUGUUCUUUGGACUCGGCGAUUCGGGUCUUGGUUCCCCUAGUAUUCCUGUUUCAGUGUGAGGUAGUUGAAUCUAUAGGAGGACUCAACCGUUUGGGUUCAUUAUGGACUUGAAGAUCAUCGUACAUGACGAGAUCAAGGAACGAACUCUACGAGUCUAAGGCAAUAUCCCUAACUUAUGAAGAUGGACUCGACGAGUUCAAAAGUGAACUCGGCGAGUCAGUUGAAUAAGGGUCCCGGCGUGCUUUAAGGUGAACUCGACGAGCUCAAGGAAGACUCGCCGAGUAGGAUCGAAGUCCAGAGUUUCGUGUGGAUAGUGGGACUCGAUGAGUUGGUGGGCCAACUCAGCGAGUAGAGUCAACUCGGAGCGUUGACUUUGACCAAUUUUGACCUAGUUUGACUUUUGAGGGUAUUAUGGUCUAAGUGUUGUUUUGGGUAUUAUUAGUUCGGGAAGCUGAAGGAUCAGCAAUUCAGGAGUUUCCGGUUAGCAGUCGGGGGUGUUCAACUAGUCUUCCGUAGUGCAUGGUGCGUUUUCUCUAGUACGAAUGGGUCUAAGGCACCAAUGUCAGCCUGUUUAUGUACGUUAGAGUAUACCGGAUCUAGAUCCGAUGUCGGGGUUAGCCCGAUGCAGUUUAUAUGUUCUGGAUUUUAGUCCGAUAGCAGGCGAGGCCCGAGGAAGGAUCAUAUGUAUAUUUUCUGAGCUAUGGUUCGAUGCCGGGUGGCACCCGAGGCAGUAGUGUAUGUUCAGUUAUACUUGUUGUCUUUGUGAUACUUGUAUGUGUUUGGUAGGGAGAUGAGUGUGGGCGGGGGCACGUAUCUCAUCACUAGUUGAGUGUGGACGGCGUUCCAUAUCUCAUUAGUAACAGAGUAGGGGCGGGGCUUUGCGACUAGCAGUUAUAGUAUUGCAAUUAUAUAAGUAUGCUUAUAUGUUAUUGUUGUAUGAGUGUAGUGGGCGGGGCCUGGUAGAAACAGAUCUGUAUACCGAGCGGAGCUCGAUGCCAGGCGGGGCCUGAUGCUGGAUUCGUUCGAUGUCGGGCGGGGCCCGAUGUAGCGAGUUAGGCUCAAUGUUUGCAGUAUGUGAUUAUGUAUGGUAGGUGGUAAGUUAGGGAAGCUCACUAAGCUUCGUGCUUACAGUUUUCAUUUUUGGUUGCAGGUACUUCCGGUAGCGAAGGGAAGAGCUGGGGAUGACUGCAUGGCACACACCAAGAAGUUUUAGCCUGGGAUGUUUACUCUGAUAAAAGGAAUAUGUUUUGAGAUAAUACUCUGAUUUGAUAUAACCAUUUUUGUUAUGAAUGGAAUGUUUGGAUAACCCAUGGUUUAUAUACUAAAUUAAAAAUGAAAUUUUUGGUCAUGUUUUUGGGAUGUUUCGGACUUGCCUUUCAAAAAGGGAUUUGUAUAUUUUGUUAUUAUAUUUUAAAACAUGAAAUAUCAUGAUAAUUGCAUGCAUAUAAUCAAUCAUGGUAUCAAUUUUCAAAAAAAUCACUUUUAAGGUUCAUAUAAAAUCCAGUAUUUAGUUUUUGAUGCAAUUUAUUUUUAAAAUUAGUAUUAAUAUUAUGUUUGAGUUUGAGCCUUUUAAAACCUUUUAUAUUACUUAAUAAAACUUCCUUUUAUUAUUAAUACUUAGGAGUUUGGAUAAAUUAUAAAAUCAUCAUUUUAGACUUAUAAGUUUAAUAUUUCAAAAUUUGAUGUUAUUAACGUUUUAAUAAAACCGGUUUUUAUUUGAAAGUUAUAACUUGUUACAUUUUAUGUUCAAAUUUUAUAUUUUGAAAACCAAAUUCCAUGUGGUGUCUAUUUUCUUCAAAAGAAUAGUCUGAGUUUAGGAAAAGCUAAAUUAUUAACCACAUAAAAUAUUUACUUGAAAAAUAAACAACACAAACAUGCAUUUGACAUAAACAAACCACGAUCUAGUUGACACUUUUGUGAGCCAACACAAAAGUGCCAAGUCCUUUCCUAAAGGGACAAAAGAGACCAAAUGAUCUUCAUAUGAACUUCAAGUUGACUCCAUGCUACCACUUUCAAUAACAACCAACUUUGUUUCAAUUUUAUAAAACUUAUAUAAAAGUUAUAAACUUUUGUAAAAGUUCCAUAAAACUGUGGGUAUCAUUUUACAUACAAUAAAUCUAGUCUAAAACAAUUCUAUUACAUAAAAUAACAAGAUGAAAAACUCGCUACUUAUUAUUACAUACUUCAUGUAUAAAAUAAUAUUACAAACCAUUUUCAAAAGUCAACAUAAAAUUAAACACAAAUGCUCCAUGGUUUGUUUAUGCACUCUGAAAUACAUAUAAACAUAAAACAAUCUUUGUGCUAAGAGAACUUUAAGUGACAAAAAGUGCAUGUGAUCUCAUUUUUAUACAAAAAAAAAACAAGUUAUCCUUAUUCUCCGAACACUAAGAUAUCCAAAAAUCAUUAAAUCUAUCCAAACUUUCAGGAUGGCUCUUGAUACCAAUUGUUGGGUCUUAGUUCAAAAAUAGUUUCAAAAACAUGAUAUUUUAGCAAUGGAAGACUUGAAUGUUUGAAUAUUUAUAAACAAGUUACAACCCACCAAGGAUCAUCUUGCAAGAAAUGGAAAGUUAAAAUACCAACCAUAGAAGAGAUGAAGAUAUAAUAACCUUUUUUGUUUUUUGAGUCCUCAAGGGGAUGCUUGAAAUUGAUGAAGAAUGUGGAACCUUUGAGAGACCAACAAUGAACCAAUUUGAUGUAAGAUGCUAAUCCUUUUGAUGAAACUCUUAAGCUUGGAGAUAAAAACCAAAGUUCUAUCUUCUAGAAAGAAAGUAAGUAAGAACUCAUUAACACUUUGGAAGAACGAUUUUGGAGAGCAAGUAAGUAAGAACUCCUUUACACUUUGCAAGAACAAUUAUAAAGAGAAAGACAAGGGAGAUACAGUUUUGAUGCAUGCAAGAAUGAGAGAUGAAAUCCUUUGUUUAAAGUGAAAACAUUGUCCAUGAGUGUUUAACCCAUUAAGAACUCAUGCGCCUAGACAUACAUGUCUCCCAUGCUUUCAAGCCACACUAUUUCUUUUGAUUAAACAACUAGAAAAUCCAUGCUCCCCCUAUCUUGCCUAGCCACAGUUCUUGCAAAAAAAAAAAAAAAAAAAAAAAAAAAAAAAAAAAAGAGAAAAGUUUAUAAAUUUUAUAAACUAGUUUAUAAAAGGGAAAACAAUAAAGUCCCUACAUAUUAGCCUCAUAAUCGAUUUAGUCCCUAUAUUUUUUUUUAUUCAAUUAAGUCCCAAAUACCGGUAAUCGUAUUCAAUUUAACCCUUUGACCCGGUCAACAUGUCAUCUAACUUUCAAAAAUUACAUUUUUGGCCCAGAUUUGAAAAGUUAUUACAAAUUUGGUCUAAAAUUUAUACUUUUGGCCCAGAUUUUAAAUUUUCUUACAAAUUUGGUCAAAACUUUACCAUUUUUGCCCAAAUUUUAUAAUUUUAUUUUGAAUUCAUCCUAACUUUAGUGUUUUUUACAACUUUUUUUCUCAAAAAAUUGUUUCUAAUAUGUUUUUUCUUUCUAAAAUCAUAUUUAUACAAAAAAAACGUAUUCUCACAUAAUAAUCUUAUAUUUUCUAUAUAAAAACUUUUUUAGUUAUAAAAAUAUGUAUUUAGUAAGUAUAUAAAUAUAUACAAAUCUGUUUUUAUAAAAAAAUGUAUACAAAAAUGUAUUUUACAAAAAAAUGUAUACAAACACCUAUCGCCUUUAUAUAUAUAUAUAUGUAUAUUAUAAAAUCGAGUUUGUUUAUAUUUUUUUUAUAAAAACGUUUUUGAACAAUAUUUUAUAUAAUACGUGUUUGUAUACAUUUUAUAAGAACGUGUUUAAAAAAGUUUUUAUAUAAUACGUGUUUGUAUAUAUUUUAUAAAAUCGUGUUUUGUAUACAUUUUAUAAAAUGUGUACAAACACGUAUUAUAUAAAAAGUUGUUCAAACACAUUUUUAUAAAAAAGAUGUAAACAAACACAAUUUUAUAAAAAAAAAAUAUAGAUAAAAUAGGUGUUUGUAUACAUUUUCUUUUGUAAAAUAUGUUUUUGUAUACAUUUUUUUUAUAAAAAUGGAUUUGUAUAUAUUUAUAUACUUAAUAAAUACCUAUUUUUAUUACUAGAUAUUUCAUAUAUAAAAAACUUUUUUAAAAAAGUUUUAUAUAGAAAAUAUAAGAUUUUUAGGUGAAAAUACGUUUUUUUUGUAUAAAUAUGAUUUUUAUAAACAAAAAAACAUAUUAGAAACAAUUCUUUGAGAAAAAAAGUUGUAGAAAAAACUAAAGUUAGGAUGAAUUCAUAAUAAAAUUCUAAAAUUUGGGCAAAAGGUUAAAAUUUGGACCAAAUUUGUAACAAAAUUUAAAAUCUAGGCCAAAAGUGUAAAUUUUUGACAAAAUUUGUAAUAAAAUUUGAAAUUUGGGCCAAAAAUGUAAUUUUUGAAAGUUUUGAUGACCUGUUGACCGGGUCAAAGGGUUAAACUGAAUACGAUUACCGCUAUUACAGUUUUCCCUUUAUAAAAUUUAAACUGUAACCUUUUGGUAAGAGACAAAAAGAUUUUCUAAAGCAAAGAGUAUAGAUAGCAAUUCAUUCUCAGUUGCGGAAUAAUUGGCUUGUGCAAAAGCUGGUGUCUUUGAAGCAUAAUAUAUGACAUGAGGAACUCGAUUCUUUCUUUUCCCUAACACUGCACCAACUGCAUGAUUACUAGCAUCACACAUGAUUUCUGUAACACCCGUUUCCUAGAUUGGAUCAGUGGCUGGUAUAAAGGAGUCAAAUGCAUGGUUUUUGAGGAAAACCAUAUGCCAUGACAUGAUAUUAAGGGUGUCACGACGUGGCAUGGAAAUAAAGGAUCACGUGUUUGGGAUGGUUUUCACGACAUGACAAAUGGAGUGGCACGACGUGACAAUAGCUGUAGCCCAAGCCAAUGAUUUUUAAGGUUUCCUCCUUAUUUAAAGCCAUUAACUCAUGAUCUAGGGCACCUUUUUUAGCCUCCAACCCUUCUCAACGAAAACCAAGCCCCAUUUAAUGUUUGUUAGCUUAUUUUAUUGUUUAGAGGCCUUGUUCUUGGUUUAUGGUGAGACUUGAAGAAGAAGGAAUUUCAUUGUGGUGCAAGGAAGCAAGGAGCUAGCUUGGAUCCCUCAUUCCCUUCAGAUUUACGAGUUGUUGGAAGUAUAAAUUUCUCAUCUUCAUCCUUGUUCUUAUUGUUUAAAGUUUGGGCUCAUUUAGAUGUUUUUAGUUGUAACAUCCAAAAAAAUCAUGAUAAAAGUUUUCAAUUUUCAAAACUAUUUUCACAAACCACAAGUCAUAUAAAACAUUGCUUCCAAACAUAACCAUAAAAAUCAGAGUAUCAAAUAACAUCUCUCAAUCAUAAGUCCUAAGGAUGAUGUGUACAAUCAUGCCUUCACCUUGCCCCUAUAAUCUGAUAUACCUAAAGCAUAAAACCAUAUUGUUAACCAAAUCUUAGAGAUUUCCCCUAAAAUACCCAAACAUAACACGAAUACAAUGAAUACACGCAAGGCCUUCAACACAAGGUUGCACCACUACCUUAGCCUUCAACAAUAAGCUGGACCGCUCCUUCGGGCUUACAGUAUCAACUGGACUGCCCGUGUAUCUUGGCCUUCAACACAAAGCAGGGCCACCUCAACCUAACCACAAUAUAUCGACAUAUGCGAACAAUAAACAAGAACUAGCAAGUAUAGGUAAUUAUGCAUAUCUACCAAUCUAACAGAUCGCUAUAGCAUAACAUCUUAUACAUAAAGAUACAUAACACAACCUAGUGGUACAACAUUGGUACCUUUGACCCACGAGUAUAGUGACAAAAACUCACCUCAAAGUCUAGAAGAUAAUUGAACUAAUCAUUGCUCCAAUUACCGGAUCUACGGGUCACCUAAACAACAAACAUGGACCAAGCCUUAGUCUAAAACUCAAAUUACUCCAUUUGGCCUAAGUUAAACUUGGUCAAAUUCAAUGGUCAAUGGUCAAAAAGUUAAAGGUCAACAUUUAGCUGGUAGCCAUGUCGUGGCCAUCCUUGGCAUUGUUGUGGUAGCAAAAUGAUGAAACAUACGAGUUCCUACCUAAUCAUCAUGUCGUGAGAACAUAAGGCCAGACUAUGGGGACUGGUCUGGACAACUUAACCUAUUUAAGCCAUUUUCCUACAACUCUAAGAGCUCCACAGCUCAGAUAUGGACCUUCUAAUGGUCUUGAUGGAUAAAGUUUCCAAAUUUAUCCAUUAACACACCUAAAUAAGACAAGAUCCCAAACCCUAAAUCCUUAAAGGUAGCUAAAGGCAUACAAACACCAUUAAGCACCUAAUCACUAGAGUUACUCUUCCAAAGUUUCUAGAAGGGUUUCCUACAUCUAAUGGACCAUAAAAAUCAUAGCUUUAUGGACAUGCAUGUGUAAUUCAUGUCCUUUCCAUUUUAGGUCAAAAACAUGGCAAUAAGGAACUCAAAUCUUGAGCAUGGGACCAAAACUCCAAAGAUCCUUAGAUCUAGAACACAUGACACUAAGAUGACCACAAGGAUACAUAAAGUUGCCAACUUUAUGGGAUCCAACUUUCCAAAUUCCCACACCAUGAAUAUUAAGGGACAAAAAGGAUAGAUCUAGAUACAAGUAAUAUACAAGUCAGAUCUUGAGGACUUACAAAAAUCCAGAAAACAUGCACAAGGUGGAUAAAGAGAGUUGUUUAUUGGGAAAAAAAAGCUCAAGGGCACCUUCUUCUUCUUCAAAACACCACCAGACACCAUAAAAACUCAAGAGUUAGCAAUGGAGGCUAGGUUUUGUUUUGGGGGGGGGGGGGGGGGGGGGGGGNGAGUGUUUGAGGCUAAGAUUGGGCAACCCUAGCCAUCACAUCCCUUAAAUAGGGGCACAAACCCCAUAUUAGGAUUUUUCAUCAAACAUCAGCCACAUCAUGGAAAAUAUAUCACCACAUCGUGACACUAACUUAGUCUCCAUGCAAUUAUUAACCUUGGCCAUGUGAUGGGACUCCAUCACCAUGUCGUGGCCACCAGAAAUCCAAAAUUUGAAAUAUUAGUUUUUUUAAAAGAGACAUACCCAAAACUUGGCAUUACAUUAGUCCCUUCCAUGAACGAUCUUGGAGUUUGAGGAACUUCAUAACUUGUUGUGACUCUCAAAUGGUCCUUUGGUUUCUUAGAAUUAGAAAGAGUAAUGUGUGGAGCUAUUUUGAGUCCAAUAUCAAGUUAAGGUCAUAUUUAAGGACUUAACGGACCUAGGGUUGUAGAUCUAGCUUUGAGAUGGAUUCCUAAUGGAUAAAGUUGAAGCUUUAUCCAUUAAAUCGGUGAAACAAACUAGAUCUAGAGUUAUGGGUUUUGGUAUGAAGGAAUUAAGCACUUAAUAAAUAUAUUGGCUUUCUUCCAGAAGUUACAACGUGAUAUUGGGUUUGUCACGAUGUGACGAUUCUCAGAGUCGUGACUAUUUCGUUUUUUCCUUCUCACAAUGUGAUACAUGGUGCGCUACGACAUGACGUUGAAUAUUGACUUGGUUGACUAUUGUUUUUAUGGACAUUUGGUCGUUGACUUUUGACCAGUUUGACUUGGGGUCAAACUUGGAGGAUUUAGGUUGUUAAUUGAGGAUUCAUUUCUUUUGGUGAUUAUUCCAUUCGUGGGAUUUAGAAAUGAAAGGUGUAAGAUUGUUGUUGGGCUUCUUUGAUUCAUCAGUUCAAGGGAGUUUCUCAGUAUGCCACAUAUCCUAUUGUAUGUCCUUUUCAUGGUAGGAUAGAGGAACUGUUAGAGUACAAGUAUGCUAGUGGCCUAGGGAAGGUCCUUGAUAUUCCUUGUAUUUUAGAGACUCGGUGAUUUUGUAUGCUAGACUAUUAGGUUGUUGACUAUUGAUCAUAUGAUUUAGUUUAGAGGUAUGUUUGUCAAGGUAACUAGGGAAUUCUAGUUUACAUGAGAAUGUAGUAUGUUAGUAAUGCAUGUGCUUAUGCUAUAUGGUUAUGUGGAAGUGAUAGCUUGGGUCAUAUGUAGUCUAAGCUAGAUAGCUUGAGAAGUCUUGGUCUAAUGCUUGUUUAUGAUGUGCUUGUCUAAUUGUUCCCUCUCGGGUGGAUCAUGUUUUUUACUGUCUAUAUAACCCAUGGCUACUUACAACUUUAUGUCGUGUAUGAAGACCAUGAGGUGACUCCUGGCAGUGGAGGUUGGGCGGGCCCGUUUACACCAUUGGCGCGGCGCGUUAUGCAUAGUUAGUUGGGGCUUGUUAUGUAUGCUUGGGCGGGACCCUUUAUAUUGAGUGGGGCCCAUUAUGUACAUUUGGGUGAGGCCCAUUAUGUGUUUUGGUUUGGGCCUGAUAUAUAGGAUGCAUGUAUGUGGUUAGGAGAUUUGAUUGCUCCAAGUUGGAGACGAGAUCUUUUGUGUAUGUUAUUGUAUGUAUGAUGGAAUAUGUGUUAUAUUGGGGAACUCACUAAGCUUUAUGUUUAUAGUUGUGGAUUAAACAUUUUGCAGGUCGAUCGUGAGAACAGCUCGGCGUGACUAUACACACGUAUUGGAGAUAUUCAUUUCCGUGAUUUUGCAAACUUAAAUAUGGUAAUGUAUGGUUUCAAACAAACAAAUGUUACUCAAUCGUUUUGGAAGCAAAGGUUCAACCGGUUUAUUUAUUUUGAAAAAGAAAAAUCUCUUUGUAAUUUAUGGGACAUUACAAUUUCAAAUGGUAAACUCCAAUCCAGUGAUUGAAGUAUUGGUGUUGUGAUUAACAACUCCUUCAAUGAUCAAAAUCUUGCUUGCACUCCUUCAAAAAAUUCAAAUUUUGCAUCUUUUUGUAAGAGUUCACACAUAGGAUGAGCUAUUUUAGAGAAGUCCUUGAUGAAUCUUCGAUAACAACCUGCAUGGUAUCAAUUUUUUAUUUAUCUACCUCAAGACCCUUUGAAUACACAACACGACUAAGUACGAGACCUUUAUCAGCCAUAAAAUGACACUUUUCAUAAUUCAAAACAAGGUUGUCUUGAUACAUCUUGUCAAAUUCUUAUUUAAAUUUUGCAAACAUUCUUUGAAUGAAUUACCAUAAACAGUGAAUUCGUCCAUAAACACUUCAAUGAUUCCUCAACAUACUCUAAAAAGAUACUUACCAUGCAUCUUGGAAAAGUGGUGGGGGCAUUGAAAUUCCUAAAAGGCAUCCGCCUAUAUGAAAAUGUUCUGAAAGGGCAUGUGAAAGUGGUAUUUUCUUGAUCCUCGGGUGCAACAAGUAUUUAAUGAAAACCAAAAUACCCAUCCAAAAAACAAUAAUGUGAUUUUCCCGCUAAGCUUUCCAACAUUUGGUUGAUAAAAGGAAGUGGCAAAUGGUCUUUUUGGGUUAAGGCAUUGAGUCUUCUAUAGUCUAUGCAAAGUCUCCACCCGUUUUUCACACAGGUGUGGACUAAUUCACCGUAUUCAUUCGUGAUAACAGUAAUACCUAUCGUCUUGGGUACAAAAUGGACUAGACUUAUCCAUUUACUAUCCGAUAUGGGAUAGAGCAUUCCAACAUUCAAAAAUUUAAAAAUUUCUUUCUUCAUAACCUCCAUCAUUGGAGGAUUCAAACGCCUUUGAGCUUCUCGGGAAGGCUUGUAAUCUUCUUACAUAAAGAUUUUAUGCAUGCAAAGUGAAGGACAUAGCCCUUUGAUGUUGGCUAUAGUCCACCUGAUAUAUUCCUUAUAUUGCUUCAAAGUGAGGACAAGCUCUUCUUAUUCCUUGGUUGUCAAUUUGGUGGAGAUGAUUACGAGUAGAGUCUUUUUUUCUCCAAGAUAAGCAUACUUGCGAUGCUCCAGUAAAGUAUUGAGUUCCAUAUUGGGUGCUUGCAUAAUAUAUGGUAUAAGUUUCUCAUUGAGCAUUGACAAUUUCAGCUUUGGAACAUCAAAACUCAUUUUCUUCUUUUGAUCCAUGCACGGUACAACUUCAAUCAUCUCUUCAAUGAUCUUGAACUUUUUGGAAAGUUUCUCUAAUGCAUCCUUUUGAAUAUUCUUGUCUAUGACUAAAGCUAACACAUCGACAUUAGACAAAUCAAAACACUAUUUAGUUAAUGGUUCAAUGAAAUCCAUAAAUUUUAAAGACGAUACAUCACUUGGAUAUCAUAUGACAUUAUAAAUGUUAAAUUUUAUCACAUCUCCAUCAAAUUCCAUGAACAAUGUACCAUUAAAAUCAACAAUUUGUGUUUUGGUUGUUUACAAAAAGGAACUUCCUAAAAGGAUAGAACUAAAACUUGGUGCAUUAUCAUCAUCCAUUUCAAGAACAUAAAAUUCUGAUGGAAAUACUAGUUCAUUCACUUGCACUAACACAUCUUCUAUCACACCUUUUGGAUAUACUAAAGAACAGUCAUCUAACUAGAUGAUCACCCCGGUCUUCUUCAAUGUUCUAAUGUUUAAAGUUUUAAAAAUGGAAUAAGGCAAAGAAUUGAUAGAAGUGACAAGGUAUAUCAUGGCUCAUGCAACAUAUAGGUUGCCCAACUUGCAAGGAACCGUGAAAACACCUGAAUCCUUCCAUUUUUGAGGUAAUGUUUUUUGUAACACUACAGAUACAUUCUCACUUAAUUUGAUAGUUUCAUUCCCUUUUAAAUUUUUCUUAGAUAUUCACAAUUCUUUAAGGAAUUUAUAAUACCUAGGAACCUGAUAUAUGACAUGGAUAAGUGGAAUAUAUACCUUAACUUUUCUAAACAUCUCCAUGAUUUCAUUAUCUUCACUCUCACACUUUGACUUGCCAAACAUUCGAGAAUAGGGAGGAGGAAUAAAUUUCACUUCAACUAGUAUUUAAUUUGAAGGAACUCUUGACUUCUUAUAUUCUUUCUCUAACUACAUCUCUUCUUCUUCCUCAAAUAUACUUGGACCGUCAUACUUUUUAUCAUUCCUCAAAGUGAUAUCACAUGCAUUAUGCUUUGGAUUCUUCUCAGUUUGUAUGGGUAGUUUUCCUUGUGACUCCAAUUUACUUACAUAAGUAAAUGUUGUUGGAUUAGUGUCUAAAUCCAUAACUAUUUUGGUAUGUACUUGACCCGAUUAUGAGCAUGGUCCUUUUGGGUUGCCUUCACCAUAACAAUAUGUAGGAUGAAUUAAAAAGAGAAAGCUUUAAUUAUGAUUUAUUAAUACAUUAUAAGAAAAAUAUAUUAAAGGAGAAAUCAUAUUGUUUAAUUAAUAUUAGUUAAGAAUUAAUUUAGUGACUAAAAGAGAUUAAUUAAAUUAAGGGGACUGAUAUUUUAAUUAUAAGAUAGUUGCAAAGUUGGGCUUAGGAUCCAUUAGAUUGCAAUGGACGAAUUCUAUAUGGAGGACUAUAAUGAAAUCGUCCAAGGGCCUUCUGGAAUGGUCCAUUGGACUGCUUAAGGCCUAAGCAGUCAGAUUAGGGUUUCCUGGUUGAAAACCCUAAUAGCCUACAUGUAUAUAAAGGACCCUUAAGCCCCCAAAACGUGGACAACACUUCCUUUAGGGUUUCCAGCCGGUUUUUGGUGCCUCCUCUCUUCUCCCUCUUCAUCCAAGUUGCUUAGUGGUGUUUGUGACUCCAUUAGAGGUGCAACACUUGAGACAUUAAGCUUUCUGAAGCCAAGGAAUUGAUUGUUAUUGCUACAUAACAAUCAAGGUAAGAUCCAAACCCUAGUUUACAUGUUUAUUUGAUUAAUUGUUUGCUAGAUUUAGGGUUUAUAAGUCUUGGAGGUUUAUUGCAUGUUCAAAGUAGAAAAACUAGAUCCAAGCAAUUAGGGUUACAUGAACACCAUAAGAAUGCUAUUAUGCUCAAAACCCAUCAGUGGUAUCAGAGACUAGGUCGUUUUUCUAUUGAAUAGACGCAUAAUUAGACCAGCAAAGAUCUGAAAAUCGAAAUUUUUUGCUCACUGCCUGAUGAACUCGCCGACUUUCUCUAAGAACUCGACGAGUUCAAAAGAGGACUCGACGAGUUGGCUGUUCUGUUGACGGGAUUUUCGAAUUUCUGGCCAGAUUUUGACGGGGAUAAUUACCAAAACUCGUUUUUAUUGCCUAAAAUCGAUAUUUUAUGUUUGGAAUGAUUAUCCUUAUCAAAAUUGAUGGAUUUGGAUAAUAUAGGAUUAUUAUUAGACAUACAUUUGACCUAGUAAGUUUGAAAAGUUUCAGUUUUCACCCUUUAGGUUUAAUAGUUUAAAUUUGAACUUAAAAAUUUUUGUUUUUGAAAUUUAAAUAGUUAAACCUUAUUGUUUUGAAAGGUUUCAAAACUUGUCUUCAAGUUUUGGAAUUUAAAUUUUGAUUAAAAGUUGAAUUUUGAAAUAUUUAAAUUCUAAACCCUAAGUUUGAAAAAGUUUCAAAACUUUCCCUCAAGUUUUGGAUUUUAAAAUUAAUUAAAAGUCUUAAUUUGAAAUUUUAAAUUCUAAAACCCUAGUAAUUUGAAAAGUUCAAAUCACACCCUUAUGGUUUUAUUUAUUAAUUAUAGUGUAUAAUUAAAAGAGAUUUAAUCAACCCAUAAAGUUUUGGUUUACAUUUAAUUAAAUUAAAAGUAUAAUUUACUAAAUUGAACCACCUAGUAUUUUAAAAGGUGUAAAAUACACCAUAUACUAUAUAUAACAUUAAAAGUCUAAUAUUAUAUAUAUGUAUGAGUAAAAGUCAGUCUUACNGCGAUUGAAUGGGUAUCCACUCUUACCCACCGCACUCUUGACUAGUGGAGGGUCGUUAGCCGAACGGGUAGGAUAGGACAGAAACCUUCCAUUAUAAGUAUAAUGAAGUAAAAAGUAACUAAAUGCUUUUACAAAUUCCCAAAUCAUAGUUACUUUAGGCAAAAUGUGAAAUUGUAUGCUAAUCCAUGGAAUUACACUUCGUACCCUUGUCAAACGUUAGUUGAGCGUGUGUGGUUAACUGACACACUAAUUUGCGAUGACAUUGGUAGCGAAGGGUGGCUCGAUGCUUAUCAUAGAUCAAUGGAGCGUAUGUGGCUAACCGGCACAUCGAUUAGGUAUAGUAGCAUUGAGUGCACCACGUAGAUUCGUAUGGUUAUUCACACCUUGUUUGUGAUCCUCGGCAUCCCAGUCACAAAUAGUAGGGCAUAAUCGAGAUUAAACAUGCCAUUGAAAAGUUCAAUGAAUCUCAAAAGAUCUAGGAGUUUCAAUUCAUUUAAAACUUAAUCUUCCUUUUCGUUUUUCAUGGUGGAAAUUGGUAAAUCGUCAUUUACCUACCUUCAAAUAUUCUGCAACUAGAUUACGGCAUCCCUCUUCUAGGUUGUAGAGUAUUGUGUUGGAUCCUAGCUUGAUGUUUCAUUUGGGUGUUACAUCAAGAAUUCUAAUCAACAUAACUUGAAUUUUCUCCCGUUUUGUAGAUGUCUGAAUCUUACAAUGGUCUUCCCAAAUCCUUUGGAACAAGCUUUCCAAAUGAAGAUGACGUUCCGAGAUACGAUCAAGGAAAUGAGAGUCAUGCUUCACUUCCUCCACCUCCUCCAAUUAUUCUCCCUGACCCACAAGUUCAAAGGCUUGAAAAGUUCAAGCUCACUCAAGCCCUUUUGGCAAGUAAACACGAAGAUGGGAAAUUUGUGUGUGCACACGUCUUAGAGAUGAAGUCACACAUUGAUAGGUUAAACAUGUUGGGUGUCGAGAUUUCAAGUGAGUUGGCUGUUGACUGGGUUCUUCAGUCACUUCCUUAAUUAUAUAGUGAGUUCGUUAGAGAGUACUAUAUGAUGGAUCAUGACGAGACCCUAAUUGAUCUCACCUAUUUGCUUAUAGCUGCUGAAUCAACAAUGAUUUGGCGUGCUGGUCAAGCAAAUUUGUCUGGUGAAUUAAACUCCCAAACUUCAACGGACAUUGAAAAUGAUGACAUUGGAGAUCCAGAAAAGGUAAACUCUGAGAUAGUUCCGUGUGUCAUUCCAAAAGAGUCUAUUUGCUUUUAUUUCCAAGAGAAGGGGUAUUGGAGACGAAGUUGCCCUAUUUACCUGAGAGAUCUAAGAGAUGGGAGAGUCAAGACGUAUGGCUCUACUUCAGGUAAAAUCCAUUAUCUAACUCUUUUAAGAUCCUAUUCUAGAUUCUUAAUACAUGAUGUGAUAAGAUUACAUUUUGAUGUUUUGUAGGAUCGAAGAAAAGAGAGGAAGCUUAAGGGAAGAAGUGAGCUGAAUCUAAUCGUGAAGAAAUGGAUUUCGAUCGCAUUACUUGAAGAUNAGCUACCACUUGGAGUUAGAAUAGAUUGCUAAGAAAUAUGUAAUGACAUAGUUUUUCAAUUGAAUUGCAUUGUAAGGACAAUUUUUUUUCCACAACAAAAUGAAUUUUUGAUUUUAUCUUAUUUAUUUAUCCGUGUAAUGGCGUGUAUGAAAAAAUUGACGUUUGAAAGUUUCUAUUAUUAGCAAUGAUGGAUUUGAUUCUUAAUUAUGUUAUUUAUGGAAAUGUCGAGAAUAUAUACCAAAUAGGGAGAGUUACUCAUCGCCCAAGUUUCAAUUGGACAGAAAUUUGGAAUCAUACAACUUGGUUGUGUGAUGAAUGAGAAAUUUUAUAUUUGGAAAUUAGAUUAAUUCUUUAACAAAGUGUCAAUUGAAGGACUAGGAGAUCGAGUACACUAGGUCGUACGAUGAUCAAGUCUACCACAAGAGUGGCAAAGAUAUCUGUCAUGUUUUACUAAGUUUAGUAAAUAAGGUUAUACUUAUAAGAUUAAGUGUAACUCUGAGUUGAUUGAAAGAGUUUCAAUGAAUAGCAGAACAAAUAAAGAAGGAUCAAGAGUGCAGAAAGAUAAAAGUUUCUCUGUUCUAAGAAGAAGGGAGAGUACCUUUUAUUGUGUUUUAUGAUAAGUCUUAAUGAUUAAGAACCAUAUCUCAAUUGAUCCUCUAAGUGAGUCUUAGUGCAUUUGUCUGUCUAAGAAGAGGAAUCGAGAAUUAUGGAAAUGGUUAAAUCAAGAAGUCAAUCAUACUUCAUUCUAGUAUCAAGUCUUAGAGUUAUACUCCAAGAUUGCGAAUUGAGUGAUAAGUCUUAAGAAGGUUUAUAACACUCAACAAAUGUGGAAUUUGGAAAAGUUUUCUUAUUCUUGCACAUUUGAAAUUGGUAAGUUGUGUUGUCUUGGAUAAGACAAAGAUCAACUAGAACCAAUUAUGUAAAGUGUCUUGAUAAGAACUACACUAACUCUUGAAUAUUUGUUUUUUGUAGAAAAUUUUUCUAACAAGAGAAUCAUAUAUGUCAAGAGGUCAGUGGGAGUUUUAAUGAUCUUGAAAAAGUUUCAAGAACAAAUCAAGAAUAAACCUUAUCGAUCAUUACUAGCACACGACUUGAGGUUUACAACCUAUCGUGUUGACAUUAUUUUGUUUCUGUGCCAUUCCAGUUGAGUUAAUUAUGCAUGUGAGUUCUGCGAGUUCUCAUUUGAAUGCAUAAAGACAAAGCACCUUGAUCGAUGGAAAGUGCAUUGAUAUGUAAGCAUAAGUUGCUAAACUACUUGGAAGACGUGGUGGGCACUUGUGUUACCAUAAGGCUAGAAAUCAAGGAAGUUUAGUCCAUAUGAGUUUGGAUUUGUCGCAAACUUGGUUUUGGCAAAUUCACAUGGAUAGGAACACAUACACCAUAAAAUCUAAGUGUCAUAAGAUUCCCUACUUCAUGAAAAUGACGGUGAGGAAAUACUUUCGCUAAGAGAGAUUUUAAGAAGAUAGCAAUUGUGAGAAUUGUAUUCUCAAAUUCGAUUAUGGUUACGUCAUCCCUUUCCAUAGUUCGAAUUGUGAGAUUUGGCAAUUAGCUUAACAUUUGGGACUUAUUAAUAUAAGUUCUGAAUUGUUUAGACACACAUAUGAGCUAUCUAAGGCAAAGGUGUAUAAGUUUAAGAAGCUUAGAUAAAGGCUUAUCGAAGCAUCUGGUAUUAGAAAUAUGAACUUCAGAAAUUCAAUAGGCAUUGUUUUCUGGAAGUCCAACUAUUUUCUGAAUACAUGUCAAAGCUAGUGGGAGCAUAAGUGUUAUGCUUAUAUGAUAAUAAUCAUCAUGAUAGUGGGAGCAUAAGUGUUAUGUUUGUAUGAUUAUUAUGGCAAGUCUUGCAAGUUAGCAAUAUUAAGUAUAGAAAAACAAAGAUUCAAUUUGCAAAGUUGCAUGGGUUGAAAAGUUGUUUUGCUAUAAUUAAGGUAGAGAAUAUUAUACUUCGUUUCAAUAUCUAAAGCUUAGAUUGAGAAAUUUUAAAUAAAUUUAGUCAAAGGAUAUAUAGUGUGUUCUUAAAUUUCAAUUAUGAUUACGGCAUCGCUCUUCAUAGUUCGAAUUGUGAGAACGUGACACAUAAAAUAUUGUGGCAAAAGAUUGGUAAAGUAUCAUAUCUUUAUAUAAGAGAUUAUGCAUUGUGUCUCAUAUGCUUCGGGUAUAGGAUCGAUUGCAAAUAUUAUAAUAUUUGACCAUUCUUAAAUUUUCCAAAUGUCUAGCGCAUUAAGAGGGAAAAAGGACUAGAAUCGGUUUUGACUAAAAUAAUUAAACAACUAUCAAAGGACGAUCCAAAGAUCGCUGAGGAUUGGUCGCUUAUGAGUAGUUGGAAGUAUGGUAUUGGAUGGGCCAUAUCCACAUUAUUAUGAAUAGAUAAGAUUCUAUUAAGAAUGAGUUGNUGGCAAAUAUGGAAAUGUUUCCAUAUUGGGAGUUGGAUAUUGAGAGUCUAUGUCUAGAUUAAAAAAAAAAUUAUGCAAGAAGGAUGUUCAAAGGAAUGUACUUUGAAUGUGAGACUUCACGUCUAUGGAAUUGUCUUGUAACAAUUUCCGAUAGAGUAUUUUGUAAUUUCAUUGGCCAAGUCUUGGUGACUUUUGUGCUAUGAUUUUGCGAAAGGAUCAUUGCAUAAAAUGUUAGAAUCUAGCAUAUUCUAGUAGUGGCAAGAACCUUGUGUUCUAACACUAAUGACAAGGAUUGGGAAUUGUGAAACGAGCAUCAUUGGAAAAGUUUUUCAAUUGAUCUAUUUCACAAAGUAGGGACCAUAUGAAACAAAGUGUGCGUGCUUGGAGCAUGAGACAAUUGGUGUUGUAAUUCAAGUAAUGAGUUGAUUAUCCGAAACAUAAAAUGAUAAAUAAUGAGUAAUCAAUAUGGUGGUUAAAUAGAAGUGUUUUAUUUACUCCCACAAGUUUGGCGCCAUAUAGGAUUAAGUAUUAUUGUUGUGUUUUAGUUUGCAUGUUUUGACUUGCAGAAUAACUGGGUUAUUCGAACCUCCACAAUUGGUCAUACGUUGGAAGUAAGUAUGAAGGAAGACUGUCAUGAAGAGCCUGUAGAUUGUCUGAAAAGUUUAGACAUAGCACAAGUUUGCUACAGGGUUCAUGAGUGCUUUGAUAAGAUUAGAGUAUUGGAUUAAACCCACGCUCAUUUGGAUCACUUCAUGGUUUUAUCACGGGUGAUUAGUGAGACGAUAAUAUUGUAUAUUCUUGAAACGGAGACGUGUGAGUUGUUAUUUGUUGGUUGGUUGCACAUUGAUAAUAAGUAAACGCACCAGUAACUUGGUGUUAUAAAACUUAUUGUUGUGUGUGAUUCGAUCAGUGAAUGCAAGCAAGCAUAUGAGUCGAAGUUUAUCCAUUCCUUUUGCCCAAAGUGGGAUAAAAGCGAUAUUUGUGGGCCCCUCGAUGAUUUAGUGAUGACACCUAAGCGCUUGGCCAAGACGGGACUAAGUUAAUGUGUUCAAUUGUAGUCUGUUGUCGGUCAUCAUAAAUCGGAAGUCGGGAAACAGUAUAGAGAGAAUGAUUAAAAUUCAUGUCUUAUGUCUAUACGAUAUCUUGAGAAUGCAGGAAUAUAUAAUCCCUUAUCUGAAGCACACACGUAUCUGAUAAGAUCAGAGUUGACAGCAGCUUUUGAAAGCUACGAUUGCUAAUCAGGUUCUGAAGUUAUACAAAAUAGUUAUUAGACUUAUCCAAGUGGGAGACUGUUGGAUUAGUGUUUAAGUCCAUAAAUAUUUUGGUAUGUACUUGGCCCGAUUAUGAGCAUGGUCCUUUUAGGUUGCCUUCACCAUAGCAAUAUGUAGGAUGAAUUAAGGAGAGAAAAGUUUAAUUAUGAUUUAUUAAUAUAUUAUAAGAAUAAUAUAUUAAAGGAGAAAUCAUAUUGUUUAAUUAAUAUUAGUCAAGAAUUAAUAAAGAAUUAAUUUAGUGACUAAAAGAGAUUAAUUAAAUUAAGGGGACUGAUAUUGUAAUUAUAAGAUUGUUGCAAAGUUGGGCUUAGGAUCCAUUAGAUGGCAAUGGACGAAUACUAUAUGGAGGACCAUAAUGAAAUCGUUCAAGGGCCUUCUGGAAUGGUCCAUUGGACUGCUUAAGGCCUAUGCAGUCAGAUUAGGGUUUCCUGGUUGAAAACCCUUAUAGCCUACAUGUAUAUAAAGGACCCUUAAGCCCCAAAAACGUGGACAACACUUCCUUUAAGGUUUAUAGACAUUUUUUGGUGCCUCGUCUCUUCUCCCUCUUCAUCCAAGUUGCUUAGUGGUGUUUGUGACUCCAUUAGAGGUGCAACACUUGAGGCACUAAGCUUUCUGAAGCCAAGGAAUUGAUUGUUAUUGCUACAUAACAAUCAAGGUAAGAUCCAAAACCUAGUUUACAUGUAUUUGAUUAAUUGUAUGCUAUAUCUAGGGUUUAUAAGUCUUGGAGGUUUAUUGCAUGUUCAAAGUAGAAAAACUAGAUCCAAGCAAUCGGGGUUGCAUGAACACCGUAGGAAUGUUGUUAUGCUCAAAACCAUCAAAUGUAACACUCAUAAAAAUGACAAGAAAUUUAAACUUUUUAAAACAACCCAAAUUCAUAAAUUGUUUACAAUAACUGUUUUCAAAACAUUUUCAAACAUAAGAGUCUCCCAAAAUCAUAAGUCAUAAACAAGAGGAUAUGUACGGUCAUGGCUUUGCCUUCCCACGGUCAUCCGAGGUACCAGAAACAUAACCCAAAAUUGUAAGUCAACGCUUAGUGAGUUCCCCCAAAGUACCAUCACAUAACAUAAGAAUAAUAACAAACAACAUGCAUACAGAGCCUUCAUCUUGACUGGAAUUCCACACCUGCCUACAGACUAUCUGGUACGCUCACAGAACCUUCAACGUGACUGGUACGCCUCACCAGGCCUUCAGCCUAUCUGGAACGUUCUCCUGCCUUCGGCCUGACUGGUACGCCCCUCAGGCCUGCAGUCUAUCUGGAACGCCCUGGGUCUCAUGGCCUUUAGUCUACACUAUUCUGCCUCAACCCAACCACACACAACAUGUCGACAUAUACAUAACAAAUAUACAUACAUAUAACCAACCACCAGAUAAUCAAAUCAGACAAAUCUAACAGAUCUCUAAGCAUAACAUCCUCCUAUAUACCAAGAUACCAAUCUAACAGAUCGCUACAACAUGAUAACAUACUACCACAUAACAGGAUAUCCAAUCCAAUGGGUCAGCCUUGGUGCCCCUUACCCGUAAGUACAACGAGGAAAAACUCACCUCAUAGACUGAACAUUAGCUGAUGAGGUCUCGACUCCGAAUCUUAACUCUAACUGUCACCUACCCAGCCAAACGACCAAUCAUAAUCAAAAUCCUAAAUUACCCAAAAUACCCUUCGGUCAAACUUGGUCAAAGUUAAAGUCAAACUGGUCAAAUCAACUGAGUCAACCCAGCCGAAUCAACCAAGCCAAGUCACCUCAAAAUGAGUACGCAGGGGGUACUCCGAAGGUAUGUUGGGUGUAUUUGCAUGUUGACCAGGUUGUUGACCUUGUACGUUGGACGUACUUUGAGUACGCAGGGCGUACUCCCAAAAGCUUUAAAUCUCAUUAAGUGCUUAAUGACUUAAGCACUCACGUCCAUAUUUCAGAUCCAUGGCUAAAAUACACUCAAGGGUCAUAAAGUUUCUAACUUUAUGACUUUGCAUGCCCAUUAAGUGUUUAACUCAACUUCUUAAUCCAUUAUGACAUUCUACAAGAUGCAUGGAGCAAAACCAACCAUUUGAAACCCAUUUUAAUGGCUCAGGACCCCUCCAAAGGUCUGAAGGGACAAAUUAAUGGGUCAACAACAUGCUUUGUUCAUGAAACACCACAUUUAGGACAAAAAGAACCAAAACUAAGCCCAAAACAAGAUCUACAAGAAACUACACCAAGUUCAGAAAUUGAUACAUCAAAAUGGUUCCAAAAGGUGGUGUGAACUGUGACAUCCCCAUUUUCACGGCCAGAAAAGACCGAUUUGUUUAUGCUUUGUUUUUUAAAAUCAGAGUAAUCUUUUAAAGAAAACGGUUGCGGAAUUUGUUCCCAAAACAAGAUAUGAUAAUAACUUAUCAAAACAUUUCUCAAAGAGAAUGUAUUUUCAUUUAAAAAUAAAACCUCAGGAUGUCAUGUUCCGAUACAGACAUAUAAGCAUAAACAGAACUUACAUUCAAUUACACUAAUGAUUUAUAUCUCCUUUAAAUCUCUCUUUGAAAUAUGUCUUCGUAUUGAUACCUGUGAUACAAAGAAAACUGAGUGGGUCAGGCUUGGAAGCUUGGUGAGCAUAUAGGGUUUUCAUCCCACAAUAUUAUAUCAUAUAUUUAUAAAUAUAGAACAUUCAAACUUGUACAAUUUCACUGUAUAAAGGCAACUCUGAUCCCACCCCAUCGAUCCUCACAACGACACGAUCUAAACUCUCGUAUCUAAAAUUUACCUCUUUACCUGAUCCCUACUUACGGAUCUAAAACUAAAUUUACCUCUUUACCUGAUCCUUAUUCACGGAUCUAAAACUAACCUUUUAACCUGAUCCAUACUCACGGAUCUAAAACUAACCUUUUCCCCUAAUCCAUACUCACGGAUCUAAAACUACCUGAUCCAUACUCACGGAUCUAAAACUAACCUCCUGAUCUGAUCCAUACUCCCAGAUCAAUAAUUGUACCCAUUCCAUACUCCCGGAAUAGGGGCAAUUAACUAUACCUUAAUCCUGAUUUGAUCCAUACUCCCGGAUCUAUAACUGUGCCCAAUCCAUACUCCCGGACUAGGGACAAUUAACUUAAUCUUAAUCCAUAUCUGAUCCAUACUCCCGGAUCUAUAACUGUGCCCAAUCCAUACUCCCGGACUAGGGACAAUUAACUUAGUCUUAAUCCAUACUCCCGGACUAAUAGCAAGUUUAUCUCUUUACCUGAUCCAUACUCACGGAUCUAAAACUACCCUCUUGAUCUGAUCCCUACUCACGGAUCUAAAACUAACCUCUUGAUCUGAUCCAUACUCACGGAUCUCAUCUACCCAUGUCCUACCCAACAUAUUUGUAGAUAUAAAUUACAUAUACAGUUUAACUCAUUAAAACCUAUAUAGUUCAUCCAUUCCACCAAUAUCUCAAAUAAACAAACAAUAUAUAAACACAUAGCACGUAUUUCAUAACAAAUACUUAAUAUUUAUGUGUUAGAAGAAAGUUACUACACACUCACUUGAUUAGAAGAUGAUCGGACAGGACUACGACUUGUAGAAGUAGUAUUCUUCAGCAGAUCUGGAAGAUCUUCACAAAAAAACGGGACUCCUCGCGGGCAGAGCUUCGGCUCGGGAAUUGCACUUCUCGGGAUCUUUGGGGCCUCGGGACUUGCUUCGGGGCUCGGGAAUGAUACCAGGGCUUCGGGGGUAGUUCGGGAUGGCUAUAGAGGGUAUCGGGAGUGAGAGAGAGGAGCUGGAGCAACCCAAACUCGGCUGACCCUCGAUUUCUAUUUAUAGGGCCAUUUUCAGGUCUCACAUCGUGAAUCUCAAAUAUUCAUGUCGUGAGUUCAGUUGUCACUGCAUGCGUCAUCGCAAGUUGCGUCUGUCAGGCUCCAGAAGUCAUAAAUAAUGAGUUCACGUCGUGAACACUAUAUUCACGUCGUGAACUCUGACAGUUUUAGGGUUUCGCGCCCCGAACUUCAGAAAUUCAUAACUUUCGCAUACGAACUCUGUUUUCGACGUUCUUUAUAUUCACGCGAAGGUGAGAUUAUGAUCUACAACUCUUGUGUAGACUCUGUUGGCUAAUUUUGACUUAAAUUUUAAUAUAUUAUAAAUAUAUUACUUUUAUAUUAUUUUUAGUAGGCCGGGACAGGAAAACUCUGUUAUAAAUUCAUAACUUCUUCAUCUGACGUCCGUUUUCGCCUAUCUUUUCAUCGUUUAACUACAAUUAAUGAGAUCUUAGAUUCUCGUUUAGAUUGUUUCGGCUAAAAACCGCUCGGUCUCAAAUCGAGUAUUCGGGCUGCAUACCGCUAAGUCGAAACUUAGAAAAUUCAUAACUUCCUCAUACGAAGUCAGAUUUGGGCGUUCUUUUUAUGCACGCUCAUGGUUUAAUGUAUUCUACAAGUUUCAUUUAGAUUGCUAAGGCUAAAUAUCACUCUAACAUAAAUUCACUUUUUACGUCGCGCUGUGCCGUGUCGGUUCUGUCGUGAAACUUCGACAGGUCAUAACUUCUUCGUUAUAACUCGGCUUUCGGCGUUCUUUAUAUGCACGAAAACCUUGUAACAUAUUCUAUAACUUAUUUAAGAUUAUUAAUUCUAAAUAAUCUUUAAUCAAAAAUUCAUUUUUGACGCCUAUCGUCUCUAAAUUGACUAGCCCUGAUCUACGGGCAUUACAAUCCUGGAUGUAGAGCGCUUCACUCCUUCAAGGUGAUCUUCUCUUCCUUCCUUCUUCUUCAAAAGCACAACAUACACACAAGCUUAGAAAUGCUUCACAAGAGGGAUUAGGGUUAUAAAACGUAUAAAGAGGGUGGAGGCUGAUGAGGUGAGGGAAAAUAAGGCUAUAAUGUGGUUUAAAUAUGUGACAAACCCUAAAAAUUAGGGUUUGCAUGUCGGGCACAUACUCCAUGCAUACCGAUGUAUGCCUUACGUACUAAGGCACACCUUAGUACGCUAAGCGUACACACAUACACAUGGCGUACUCCCCAACCUUUCCAAAUUAUGAAAAUGCCAUUAGGGCUUCCAAUGCACACUUCCUUUUACUUAUGGACCAAAAUGAGAUAUAAUUCGAUGAUAGGGUUAAAAUUAAAAGUACCUUAUCAUCGGGAUGUUAGAAUAAAGAGUUGUGUCAUUUUUUGCUCCAGAGUCUUGAUACUUUCUCUGGUUUCAUUUUUAAACGACUGAGUGCUAGUGGCUAAACUCUUGACAAUAUCUUUUAAAGAAAUUUUUGAACUACUUGUGCUACUUCCUAGUUUCAUGUUUUGAGGUUGGGAAUGAGAUAGUUGAUGAGGUUGAUGAUGAUGAUGGAAAUUUUGUUGGUGAUGCAUUUGAUUAUGAAAUAGAGGUCUAGGUUGAUAAGAUUGUGGCCUUAGCUGGAAAUUUGCAUUGGGUUGUUGUCCCUAAUUUGGAUUGCAUCUAGGCUGAAAAUUGCCUUGUUGUUGACCAGAAAAUUCCAUAUCUUGAAUUGUUUCCAUUUUUAUCUUGUAACAUAGGACACAUAUCAAUAGUGUGUCCUACUUGGGUACAAUAACCAUAAGGUCUAACAGUUGUUUCACACCCUUGUCCUUGGCAAGUAUCAUAACAAUUGUUGUCAAUUAAUAAAGUUGAAUUUCGAUCUUUUGAGUGGUAAGUUCUUUCACUCCUCUUGGCGUACUAGUGCACCAUUCCUAUUCUUGAAUUGUAUGCUUGGACUUUUCAACCAUAUUCUUGAUAAGAGCUCUGAUUUCAGUAGGAGUCUUGUGAGCUAUUGAUCAACCACUUGAUUGAUUAAGCAAUCUUCUCUCCUAAGGUGACAUCCCUUCAUAAAAAUAUUACAACAACUAAUAUUCAAAAAUCCCAUGCUUCACAAAAUUUUCAACAUAACUUCUUGAAAUGUCGCUAGUAAGUAUGUAAAGCUUCUCUUUCCUGUUUCUUAAUAGCGAUGAUUUCCAUGUGUAAGGCCGAAGCUCUCAUUUAUUGAAAAUAUUUAUCAAAAACAUAUGUGAUAGUUCAUUCCAUGUUCUAACCAACCCCGAUGGCAUUUCAUAUAACCAUUCCUUGGUUGAAUCUUACAAAUCAAAGGGGAAUGCCCUUAAAUUGAUUUGGUCUUCAGUGACCUCAGGUGGUUUCAUCCUCACACAAACAACAUGAAAUUAUUUAAGUAACUUAUGUGGGUCUUCGUUUUCAAGACCACAGUAUGUAGGCAACAAAUGGAUGAGUUUGGAUUUUAGUUUAAAGUUUAUUGUUGCGGAUAGGUAAUGCAUAAUGGUUGUUGUGUAACAUAUUGUGUAGACCAUUGUCGAAGGGUUUGUUCAACUGGUGGAUUAAGAGGAGCAUGAUUAUUAUUAUUGUGAUUCACCUAACCUUCCAUGGUAGGAGUACGGAUGAAGGUUUCAGGCUUGGUAGAAUUAGUGGGUGAAGGUGGUGGUGUAGAUUCUUUGGAUGUUGGUGUAUUUGAGAAUGUGGUUGAAAGUUUUGAUGGAAAAGCUCUAGCUUGUUGUUCUUUCCUUAAGAGUCUAGCUUGCUUUCGUCUUUGUUUCACUGAUUUCUCUAUCUCCAAAAUCAUCUGGUAAAGGUAUACAUGCAUGAAAAGAUCUUGGCAUAAACAAUUAGUACUACUGUAUCCCCAACAAUGGCACCAAUUUGUUUUGGUGUCAAACCAAAAAAUGAAAGGGAUAAUAUAACACACUAACAACUCACUUCUAUAAUAUACUAAAAUAUAAUAUAGAGUAAGCAUAGCUAAAACACUGAGAUACAAGACUUAUUAUUUAACCAUAUUUCCACAUGAUAUAUUAUUAAUUAUUAAAAUGGGAGGGGGGGGGGGGUUUNAGAAUGCAUGAAUGAAAAAAAAUAAAAACUAAAAUUCAAAAUUUAAAAGACAUUUCCAAUUCAAAAUCCCCUUCAAGUACAAUGUUGUAAGAUGUAAUUUGAAAUCAAUUUAUGUUUAAUCUAGGUUCGUAAUUAAGAUAUUAAUACGCUCUAAUAUCUAAAGUUGACAAAAGUGUUUUACUCAAAAUAUUAUCUUCAAGUAAAACUUUAUCUAACUGAUUUAAUACAAAUAGGCUCUUGAAUUAAAUCACUAAAUGACAUUAUAGUUCUUGCAACAAUUACCAAUAAUGCUCAAUACUCUCAUAUGCUCGGGAAUGUAAAAGAAUCUAAUCCUUGAUUACUUUAAUUUUGAUUCAUUUGAAAGCAACUAAAUGUUUGUUACCAAUUUUAAAUCAUAAAGCAUAUACAAAUUUCAAAUUUUGAUUAACAAUAAUGAUAUGAACCCUAACUUCAUUGAUAAAUUGAAAAGAGUACAAAUAAAACAUAUCAUGAAGAAUAUAUCAAGUGUUAGUAGAUAAUAAACAUGAAAUCAAGUUCACAUCACAAUCUAACAACAAGUAUUUAGAAUCUAGAACCGAAAAUGAAAAAAAAAAUGUUAGCCACACAUGACUAACUUGAAGUACAAAUUCAAAAAGUUUUAAUCUUAAAACAACUUACAAAUUUAAAUAAAUAAUGUUUCCAAAGUGAAAAUUGAUGAUACGAUCUAUCAAAAUCGCCUUUUGCAAGUCCUUGGUCGAUGUACUCUUAAAAUGAAAAGGAAUCUCUUUCUGAUUAGAAGUUGAGAAUCCAAAAAACUGUCAAAACACGUUACACGGCUGUGUAACGAUAUGCCUUGCCAAAGUACAAAUGUGUAACAACUUAGUUGUGCUAAAAAACUCCAAAAAAAUGGUCGUGUAAGGACAAGAAUAAUCAAAACACAAGCCGUGUAAUAAUAUGAGAAACAUCCAUUUCCCAAUUUUGCAAUUUCUUCAACACGACUUCAAAAAGUCCGAAACUUUACCGAGAGCUUCACUCGACCAUCCUAAGCAUGCUCCAACGUUCAAACACACCUAAAACAUCCACCAAAACUAUAAGAAGUAUAUAGAUCAUCGAUUUGUCCCGAAAAUGCAAAAUGCACGUAAAAUUACACAAAAUAUCAUGCAAUGCUAUAAAUAAAUGUGAACUGAGUAUAUAAAAAGGUGCAAUUUAUGCACCUAACACAUAUUAGUGUCGAAUAAAUCAUGAUCAUAUUGCAUUACUUCAUAUGAGUAUAUGGGUAAAGAGACUAGUUUAGUUCGUAUAAUAGGUGGCAUGGAUUUCUAAUUAGUUGAAGAUGAUUGUAUUGGUAUUCUAAAAUUCCAUCAUGUAGACUGGCUCAUGCAAAUCAUUUUCUAUGUUACAUUUGUGAUUGUUAACAUGUUACCAAAUUUGAAGUGAAAUUGUACCUAUAGGUAAAUAAGUAUGCUUUGCUCUAACUCUCAUACCAUUCUCUAAUUAACCAUCAUCCUUUAAGGAAAAAUAAGGGAAACCCUAAUGUGAUAAAGAUUAAACAAAAAAAACUGCCAGAUCCAGACUUGGGAUUUUGGGCAUGUGAAUACAUAUAUUGUACUACAUCUUUUACAUACAUUGUUUAUCAUGUAGUUAAUUUUAUCUUAGCAUAUGAUUAAUGCAUGUAGUAUUUUCCUAAAAAUAUGAUUUAAAGGAAAUUUAGUUAAAUAUGUUAUCUUUACAAAUAUAUGAAUUUGAUGUUUGGUAACGCCCGGUUUUUCAGGUAAAUUCCUUAUUUGUUAAAAUGUUUAUUUAUGUUUCUUUGGGACCGCGUACACAGGGCGUAAGUGUGGUAUGUUGGGCGUACCUCGAAGAACCUUGGAUACCAGGAUAGUCCCCUGGUACACUGGACUUACCAAAGGGUACGUUGGGCGUAUGUUAGCCAGGGGAAAACCCUUAUUUUUAGGGUUUUCACCCAUUGCCCCUUUUGAGCACUAUCUCGAAACCCUAAUCCAUUCCUCAAGAGAUUUUACCCUUGUGCGUGUUUUAGUGUGUGUGUGUGUAGUGCCUCUUAAAGAAGAAGAAGACUUGUAGAGGAGCAUUAAACAAGUUGGAGCUUGUAGAUCCAAGGUUUAUUCAGUCUUUCCGGCUUAUUGGAGGUAUAAAGUCUUGAUCUUGCAUAUCCUAUGUCUAUAUCUAGAAUUGGUUGAGAUUUUAUCAAAAUUUGGUCCCAUGAAUGAACCCUUGUGAGUAAAUGUUACUAUAGAAGUUAUGAGUUGUUUCUUUUGAUGAUUUUGAGGUCCUUAGUCCAUAAAGUUUGCAUCUUUAUGAUUGUAGAUCAACCAUGCAUGAGUUAGUGAUCAUUUGAUGGAAGUAGAAUGUUAUAUCUAGGGUUUGAGUCUCCUUGAGACAUGAAAAGAUAUCGAGAUGGUAACUUCAUUGUUUAAGACGUCCCUUAAGAGCUAGAUUUGAAAGUUGGACAAUGGACUUGAAGCAUUAAGUGCUUAAUGAAGUUUUGGAUAAAUGGAGCGUACGUUAGACGUACAUGGAUGAAGUCCUGAUACUCCUCAAUAUGAAGCAGUACAACGGGCGUAUGUAGACGAUACGUUGAGCGUACCCACUAGGGGUCAUUUUGGAGGUUUUAGGCCAUUGUUGGGACCUAGGAUUUGGGCCAUUAUUGGUCCUUAGGCUUUAGGCCAUUGUUGAGGCUUAGCACCUUUGGACUUGAGUCAUGUAUUGAGGGGACCAUUAGGGGAAGGGGUAAAAUGAUCUUUUACCCCUUAGCAUGUAAGUGAGUAGUCAGAACCAUUCAUGGGUUAUUACCCUGAGUAUUGAUUAAGGUUAAUUGGAAUGUUCAGUGUGAGAAGCCAUAGUAGCAGUAGCCCAAGAGUGUGAUUUGUUUAUCUUUAGAUUGAGGUGAGUUCCUUCACUUUAUUCAUGGGUUGAAGGAACCAACGUCAACCCAUUAGAUUAUGUUUGUAGGAUGAUAGUUGUCUUCGUGAUAAUUUCUUGUCAUGCAUGUAUAUAUUUGUUGUCUCUGUGACUCUUGCUGAUAUGAUUGUAUACUAGCUGUAGGGGUGAAAUAGACCUGAUACCGGUUGAAAGAGACUGAAAGGGGCGAAAUAUGUUGGAUUAGUGUCUAAGUCCAUAACUAUUUUGGUAUGUACUUGACCCGAUUAUGAGCAUGGUCCUUUUGGGUUGCCUUCACCAUAGCAAUAUGAAGGAUGAAUUAAGGAGAGAAAGGUUAAUUAUGAUUUAUUAAUAUAUUAUGAGAAUAAUAUAUUAAAAGAGAAAUCAUAUUGUUUAAUUAAUAUUAGUCAAGAAUUAAUUUAGUGGCUAAAAGAGAUUAAUUAAACUUAGGGGACUGAAGUUGUAAUUAUAAGAUAAUUAUAAUUGGGCUAUGGAUCACCUAAUAAUAUAUAGGUUGGACGAAUUCAAUGGGAAGCCCAUUAGAAAUCGUCCAAGGGAUAUGUUAAAGGAGUCCAUGGGCUGCUUAAGGCUUAAGCAUUCAUAUUAGGGUUUCCUAGUUGAAAACCCUAAUAGCCUACAUGUAUAUAAAGGGCCCCUAUGCCCCAAAAACGUGGACAACUGAUUCUCUAGGGUUUCUAGUCGUUUUGGGCAACCUCCUUUCUUCUCCUCUUCAUCCAAGUUGCAUAUGGUGUUUGUGACUCCAUUAGAGGUGCAACACUUGAGGCACUAAGCUUUCUGAGGCCAAUCAAAGCAAGGAAUUGAUUGUUUUUGCAAUGUAACAAUCAAAGGUAAUUCUCUAAACCCUAAUUCAGUUUAUUAUAUGUUAGAUAUAGGGUUUAUAGCUUUGGAUAUUCAAUUGCAUGUUCAUUAGACAAACUAGAUCCAAAAGCUAUUAGGGUUUGCAUGUACACCAUAGGAAUGAUGUAUUGCUCAAAACCCAUUAAAAUAUACACAAUACUAGUUGAAAGAGACCGAAGGGGGGGAAAUAGACCCAGUACCGGUUGAAAGAGACCGAAGGGGGUGAAAUAUACCCAUUACCGAUUGAAAGAGACCAAAGGGGGUAAAAUAGACCCAAUUAUGUUUUUACGGUUAUGUAUAUAUGGUAUGGGGUAUUUUGAGGAAGCUCACUAAGCAUCAUGCUUACAGUUUAUGUUAUGGUUUCAGGUACUUCCAGCUCGAAAGGGAAGAGCCCGACAUGAUAGCACUACAUCCGCCCAUGUUUUCUGCAUGCCGUGAUUUUAGGAUUUUGUACUCUGAUGAUUAUGCACUAUCAUAUACUUUUGGUUGAUUUUAUAUGAAUAUUGGAUAUUUUGGAAUGAAUUAAAAAUAAAAUUUUCAUCUGGAAAUUUUGAGAUGUUACAUGUUAUUUAUAUAUUCUUUUUUAGGUGUCUAACCCUUUUAUGAGUUACUAUGUUUCCUUGCCCAAUGUACUAUUUUGAUAUGUGUUCGUAGAAGAAGCAUGUUUAUUGGUAUAAUUUUCAUAUUAGAGACUAGUCACACAAAAAAUAGAGGAGGCUUUGAAAUACCAUAUAUCAUAUACAUUUUUUGAUUGUUAUAAUGUCACUCGUCUGAAAUCUUCAAUCCAGAUCAAGAAACAUAAUCAUUUAGCAUAUAAGGUUGAUUUAAUUCAUGCCUUAUGAUUAACAUAAGACAUCGUAUAUACAAAGGAAAAUGUGGUAAACUAGUUGAUAUUAACUGAAAAAUUGAAUGUUAAUUAUAUCCAUGAAAGGCUCAUAUUCUUUUCAGAUGUGUAGCACUCGACGUGUUGUUAGACAUAAUCAUUUACUUGUUUUGAUAGUAGAAUGUUAUAUGUUGAUAGACAUUAUUGCCACUACCAACCAAUUAGGUCACGUAACUAAGUGAUGAAUAAAUGAUGAUACCAAGAUCAAUAUAAAUCCUAACAAUUAUUAUGAGGAACAAGUUCUUGAAAGACCACAUGUAUUGUGGACUAAACUUGAUAGGACUAGACCAAGCCUGUAAAAGGGUUGUUACACACCUUUCAUAAGGGUAUGUUUGCAUUGAUCGAGCAUAUGCAAACCUAAUACAACUAUUUAAGGGAGCAUCUACCUCACUGCCUCACCAUCAUUGAUCAAGAUUUCAGAUAAUACCUAAUAAUUUCUAGAAGGUUUUUAGGACACAAGAGCUUAUGUGGUGAGAUUCUAUUGUCAUCAAGCUAGCACACGUUUGUUGCAUUGUAAAUGCACCUAUGUUAUGGUACCGUGAGAGGGAUGCUACUUUUGCUCCUAACUUUACAUGUACAUUCAUCCCUAUACAAACCAUAAUACAUCCUACUAUAAGUGAAUAAUUUAAAUCGUUUAUAGUUGUGUUUAUUGCUUAUGUGAUUACAUAGAAGACCCUAUUAGAAGAUAUUGUUUUUAGUUAUCAUUUCCUUUUGAUGUUGUUAUCAUAAUAAUUAUAACCAUACAAAAACCCUACAAACACCAAUUAAAUAUGCUCGAUUAACCAAUGUCCUAGCCAAGGACUAAGUUAUAAAAACAAAGUUUAAUAAACAUGGUACCACAAAUGAAAUAUAAAAUAUAGAUUAAAUUAAAUAAAUAGUCUAUAUGGUUUACAAAAAGUCAAAGGUUCGGUCCUUAAUUUCUUUGACUUGUAUGGUUCCUAUGAAUUAUUAUUAUUAUUAUUAUUAUUAUUAUUGUUAUUAUUAUUAUUAUUAUUAUUAUUAUUAUUAUUAUAAUUGUUUUUAAUAUUAUCAAUACUAGAUAUGUAACCCAACCACACCCAUACCCCUAACACUCAUUGACUUUCCUAUUUCCUAUUUCCAUUUGCGAUGAACCCCCAUACCACCACCUUUCCCUUGGCUCAUCACAUCCCUUUUUACACAAGACCUACUGUAACAAUCAAACUUUUCUUAUAUUUUAAAAAAAAAUACACCUAAAUUUUUUGCAUUUUAUACAUCAAAACCAGGGGUUUACUUUAGUACUUACAAACACAACUUGGUAAGCACAAAAUACUUAGUAUAAAAUACAUCCAAGAUCUAUUUGGUAUUACAUAAGUUUACAUAAAACACGAUAGUUAAUAUUAAACUAACUCCUACUUCUCAUAGUUGCCUUUCCUUUUUUGAGUUAAUAUUUCCUACUUUUCCCAAUUACACUCACAAAAUAAGCAUAAGCUUAAUGAAAAAUUUAACUAUAACAUUAUCACAUUUCAACAUAGUAUUAUUAUACAAUCAUGUUAAUUUAAUCAAACUCAACUUUUAUGCAAUGCCUUUACCAAGAGUCUCUUUUAUAAUCAUUUAUUCCAUUAAUAUUUCGAGCCUAUAACUCAUUAUGAGGCCUACAUGUUAUUUAAAAAUGUCAUAAUACUCAUGUAUGACUUGGUCGUCAUAUACACCAUACUCUUUGAAUAUUAAUAGGGUGUUAGACUUAUACUCUUUAUAAGUAGUAUUAGAAUACUCUCAUAAAAACACCUUUUAUAACAAGUUACUUCAACAUAGAUGUAAUUAUACACCUCUAAAUUGUAUUUCAUAGUAUAUCUUAUGGGCUUAGAUUAAAUUAGUCACCUUGACUUGGUUGAAAAGAGCUUGUUCUGACUCCUUAAGAUCCUGUCCCAAUCCUUGCUUCACCAAAACCUAGGCAAUAACACAUCUCUUAAGUGUUAUAACUCAUUUUAUGACUUUCUCCUUUAUGAUCAAUAAUUUCUCAACAUCAAAUCAUAACAUUAGUUAUAUAUUACUAUUAAUAUUUCCUUAUCUAAACAAUUUAAGUGUCUCAUUACAUUAAGUGGGUGUUUGGCUUAGCUUUUGUGGGGAAAAAGUCCUAUUUGUAAAAGGACUUUUUGGAAAAGGACUUUUUGAAAAAGUUAUUUUUUAAAAUGUGUUUGGAUUAGCUUUUGAAGAGAAAAGUCAAAAAUUAAAGUGUUUGGUUUAACUUUUACAUGUAAAAUGACAAAAAAGGACAUGUUUCCAUAUUUACAUUGAUUUACUACUUUACAUAUAUUAUUUUAUACUUAAAUUUUUUUUAAACACAUAUUAUAAUCUUAUAAACAUUUUAUUAGAAAAUAUACAAUAUAAAUUUCUUUUAAAAUAUUUCUAAUUUUUUAGAUUAUACCAUAACAAUAUUAAAAUUACUACAUUCAUACAAAUUGUAAAUAAUUCAUAAGAGGACUUUUUGUAUUAGACCAUGACAAUAUUAGAAUUACGUUCAUACAAAUGUAAAAUAUAAUUUACGUUCAUACAAAUUAAAAUAUUUCUAAUUUUUUGAAUUAGACCAUAACAAUAUUAAAAUUACGUUCAUACAAAUUGUAAAUAAUUCAUAAAAAAAUAUCAAAGAUAAUAUUACAUUCAUCUACGUAAUGUGAUUAUAUCUUGUGCAAUAAUAUCCCGUAUCGCUGCCAUAUAUAACUCAUCAUCGCUCGUGCGACGUGUACUUGGACCAUCUUCGUAAACAUCACUACCGGUAUCAUCUCGUACGGGAUUGUAGGAUUCUUGUUGUGCCCUAUUAAACGCUUCAUCAAACCUACCCACCUUUCUAAUGUAGUUAUGGAUCGCCAUCGAUGUUAUCACAAUUUUCACUUGGUUCUUGUACUUGUAAUUAACAUGCAUGUCUCUUAAUAACGCCCACCUAGCUUUCCACACUCCAAAAGUUCGUUCAAUGAUAUUUCGCAAUGAUGAAUGGAGAUAGUUAAAUUUCUCUUUCGGUCCACGAGGUUCACGAAUAGCAGUCGUGUGUCCACCUCAANUAGCAUCGUGUGUCCACCUCAAAAAUCUGGUAAAUGAUAACGAAUAUUUGUGCCUUUGUAUGGAGCAAGAUACCCUCUCGUAUUUGGAUAUCCAGCAUCAACAACGUAAUAUUUAUCUGUAAAUAAAACAAACAUUUAUUAUUCGUUUCAAACAAAUAGUAAAAACAUAAAACUUGUGUUCCAAAAAAAAUACUAACCACCCGUUGGAUAGGGAAAAUUAAGAUCUGGUCUCUGUAAGGCUUCAUUGAAAAUUCUUGUAUCGUGUGCAGUCCCCUCCCAACCGGCCCAAACAAAUGUAAAGCACAUGUUAAAAUCACAAACAGCCAUUAUAUUUUGUGUUGUAUAUCCCUUUCGACUAAUGUACUUCACUUCAUCUUUUUGUGGAAUCGAUGCCCUGACGUGUGUCCCAUCUAUAGCACCAAUGUAAUCCUUCAAAUUCAAAAAUAUAUCAUAAAUAAAUUAUUUGUUAAAGUUUGAUUACCAAGAAUAUAAACAUUGGAUAAUACCUUGAACAUUUGAUAAUACCGAGGGUUAUUUAAUAUAUAUUCGGGAACAUCAUCAUUAUAGUUUGCGUCUGGUUUGAUGAUGUCGGCACUCAGUUUUAGCACGGCUUCCAAAACUGUAUGGAAAUGCCUGUGAAUCGUUUCCCCCGAAUGAUUAAAAAACUCUUGCACAAAUCUAUUGCUACACCCAUGCGCCAAAGUCAUCAAGAAUAUUCCUACAGACUCCUCUAUAGAUACUUUUCGUGUUUGUUGUAGCCUGUAAUUUGUAGCAAGAUCUAAGCAUAACUGUCUAAAAACCGGUACGUUGAGUCUAAACAUCUCAUAACAACGUCUAGGAUGGCCAAUUAGUACUUUUGUAAUAAACAUGUGCCCCGUGCGAUCUGAAGUGUGACAUGGAGUAUGUAAGUUACAAGCGAGUAUUAUCCCUUUCAAAGCCAUUCCACAUAACAUUUCAAAUUCUCUAUCCUCUUCCAUUACACGUUCUUCAUUAUCAUUGGAUGAAUUAGCAUCAUCACUAUCCAUCCUGCAUAAUACAAAUAAAAUGAUGUCAACCAUUAACACAUAACAUAAAGACAAACAAUAACACAUAAUAUAAAAUGUCAAAUACAUAAUGUCAAAGGACAACACAUAAUGUCAAAACAUAAAACUUAAUGUCAAAGCAUAUCACAUAUUGUCAUAGGAUAACACAUAAAUGUCAAAUCAUAACUGUGACAACCCGAAAUUUAUUCCGUUAUUUUAAUCACACCUUCCGUUAAUAAAACCCGCUUUAUUAAUUGUCCAUUAACCUUUUGGAAUAGGUUAAUUAAUUUGGGACUUUUAUAAUGACUUUUUAAGGGUUGAAACAAAUUAGAAACACCCUCAAAAAUCCCUUGAAAAGUUUUAGUUUCAACCAAGUCGAAAUAUGACCAUUUAAUCGGGUGCGACCAAAAGUCCCUUUUAACGUCAGUACCAGGUAGAUUUCCACUGAGCCCCAACUCAAACCCCUAUAUAAGGGUGAGUGGAGUCCAUUUGAGACUUUCCACUCUAUCUCUACACUCUCUUUCUACAACAUGUUUUGAUCCAAAAACGCCCAUUCCGAGCCCCAAACUAGUAAGUAAUCUAUCCUAACUAGUUGUGUAGCUUAGUUAACAUGCAAAUUCAUGUUUAAGACAUCAAAUAGGGGCAAAUUCAUGUGUUUACGGCCCAAGAACACUCUUGGACCGUGAACACCCUUAAGUGGGGUGUUGAAGCCCCAAAACCCCUCUAAACUACCCCUAGGGCUUACAUAUGACUUGUGGACUUACACCUUCGGGAUUAGAACACUAAAACCUUGCAUUUUGGAGAGUAAACAUGAGUUUACAGCCCAAGAACACUCUUGGACUGUAAACCCCUCUUCAAGGGUCGUGAACACCCUUUAAGGUGUUAGAAAUGCCCUCAAACACCUCCUAUGGCCUGGGAAAAUGUCUAGAACCAACCCCCAUUAAAGUAAAGGCAUUAAACAUCAAUUAAACCAAGGAUUUAGGAGUUUAUGGCCAUAAACCCCCCAAGAAUUGGUCCAUGGGCCGUAAACUCCCCUAAAUAGGCCAAAUGGCGCCCUAACUCCCCUAUAUGACUUGGAAAAAUGUAUAGAACUUUAUUCUCUACCAUUUAAGACCUUAAUACACCAAAGGAAUGAACAUAUAAGAGCUUACCGCCGUAAACUCCUUGUUUAGGGCUGUAAACUCCUUAAAUGUUCCAUUUUGAGCCUUAAACCCCUUCAUAUGCCUUAUAUUUGGACCUAGCCUAAUUCUAUGAGUGAUAAAAGACCUUAAAGCAUCCAAGAGCACACCAACCAUGAGUUUACAUCCGUAAACUCAUGGGGAUAUGGGCUUAGGGCUGUAAACUCUAUAAAGAGUUUACUCUUGAAGAGUAAACUCCCUAUCUAGGCCAUACACUCCCUUAUUUGCAACCCAAUAGCCCCCUAGCACUUGACCAAAGUGUUUUCCGCACUUUAGGAUGUGUAUACGUGUUUAAUUAGUAUUAUAUUUACUAAUUGUAUGUAAACAUAUGUCGUCAUAUGUUAAUAGGUCACUAAGUGUGUUCAAGUCUUUACUUGACACCGAGCACCCAACCGGCACUUUCGUUCGAUCUACUUACAACAGGUGAGUUCAUACCCCUGAAUUAACAUUUUUAAAUGUUUUUACAUGCUUUUAUGGGGGGGAUACAAGUUAAAACAUGCUAGUUAUAAUGUCAAUCAUAUGUGAUUAAUAACCCGCAUGCACAAGGAUUUAUUAGCCUUUCAGUUGUAUUACCAAGUAUAAUACUAUAGAUGGUUUUCCAAAACGUCUUUACUUGUUUAAAUCUUUUCUCAAAUUAUCUCUCGUGUUGUAUGUUUUACUUCUAAACCGGUUACAACAGUGUUUUAAACAAAGGUUUUCUUUACUUAUAUUGUUUUAUCAAAUUAUAUUCUAAACGUGUUUAUGAACGGUUUUCAAACUUGUUUUUCAAACUGACUUCAAGUCGUAAAUUUCUUAUGUGUAAAGGUUUUUCCAAAGUGUUCAUCAAAGUUUUCUUCUAUACUUCUAUACUUCUGCUUCGUUAAAUGCAUGCAUGUACUUGUAUAGUUAUAUAAAUAAUGUUUAAAUGACUUAGGAAGGCUAGUUCGCCCUAUUUCCUUUUCCUCGUUGGGAUGUGGUCUGGUGGGUAUCGGAUAUCCGUCCGAAGAUCAUUUAAACAUUAGUUAUAUAUCAUGUAUACACGUAUAGACAUAAAGGUUUACAUCGGCCAGUUCAUUUCCCUUGGGUAGCAAGGGCAUACUUCCAUUCAUCAUUCAUAGAUCAAAGACACUAGUAACUAUUAUAGAAAUAGUUAGGAGCCUCUAUUUACUCUUUCUAGUACGAGAAUUCCACAAGAGUCAGUUCAUACGCGAGUCUAUAUCAUUUCUCCAGCGCCUCUAACAGAAUUCAGAAUACGAGAUCCAUCUUCAAGACACGGAUCUCCCCGUUGUCUAGUUGGUAACCAGAGUCUCCUGUAGGGAGAGCGGGCAUUGUGUGUAUAGAUCUGUGCGGGACUGACACUCCCGAACCCUGACUGCUAGCUACAGUCCACAGCCUACCAAGCCAAGGGGUGACAAAUGUCAUAUUUAUUCCGACGCUUGCAGGGCGUCAAGUACUCUAGUGUCAAUCAGUAUGGUUACGAGUAUCUCCAUGUUUACCUUAUAAUUCAUGGCCUUAAGGUAAUGAGAAUCUAAAACUAUAUUCUUGAAACAACCCACUUAGGAUUUUCCCUUUGUUUUAGACCUUGCUAGCUGUAUCUUUUAUUUGAUACUGUUUGGGGUAUGUGUUUCUCUGUUUUAGACCUUGUUAGUCGUAUCGUACAUUUGAUACUGUCUGGGGUAUGUGUUUCCUUUUGUUAGACUGAGCUAGGCGUAUCAUUCAUUCGGUACUCUCCUGGAGUCUAUGAUUUCUUUUGCCUUAGUCAGCAGUAUUUUCUGCUGAGGCAUAUGUUAUUUUCCCUAAUGUUUUUACUAGUGAUAUUCUCCUACUUUCUUUAAAAUCAAAUACCGUAUUUUGGUAAUGAUAGCAUUUCAGGGAAAGCUUUUCUUUAAAACAUAACAAUGUCAAGUCUUAGUAGAAGACUGCUUUUAAUUAGAAAAUAUAGGAUUUUCUGGAAAGGACGCUAGUACACCGUAAAUUCUAAACUACUAUUUUUUUAAAGUUAUUUUGAAUAAAAUACUUACUUACACAAAUGACACUAAAUACUUAUGAACUCACCAACAUUUAUAAAAAUGCUGAUACUCGCUUUCAAAAUAACUUGUAUUCUCAGGUCAACAAUAGACAGGUACACCCAGGAGCUUUUGUGAAGCCAGCCUAGAACCGAGCGGCAUCUAUACUAGUUUCUGUAUUACUUUGAUUUCUCUAUAAACUGUAACUUAUGUAAAACUAUUACUAUUAAUGCAAUGGUUGUUGUACUUUGAUUACUAUACUGCAUAUGUUGUGAUACUUGACAUGAUGUCAUCCACCCCAGAACGUUUCCGCCGUUCCUGUUUUGGGGUGUGACAGAUUGGUAUCAGAGCAUUGUUUAUAGUGAGCUAAGUAUAUCAAUUCAAAAAAGAUAUGCAGCCUAUAAAUACAUAGGGAUAAAACACUCUGACCAAGAAUUAUACUUUAAAAUAUAACCAUAUUUUACCAAAGUAUAAGAACAUCCAGAAUCUAAACACUCGAACACAAGUAUCACAAGAAGAACAAGAAUAAAAGUCUUUGGAUGUUGAGCAUUACCGUCAAACCUGGGCAGUUAUGUAAUCGUAAGCUGGAAUAAAUGUAACCUGAUCAACUACAUUUAUUUGAGAUGCGAUGAACGUGUGCCUGGGAGUGAUAGUGGUUUUGCAACAGGUCUGAAACUUACCAAUUCGGAAUGCUAGAGCCAAACAUAAAGUUUAAAAAUACUAUGGGAGUAUUUUGGAAUACUAAAAGACUCACAUUAAUCCCAUAAUCAUAUUCAGAAGUUAAGAAACAAACAAGAAAUUAAAAUACCAUAGGGGUAUUUUAGGAUCCAUAGAUAACCUUGUGUGAAGAACUAAAAGGAUCCUUAUUGAUAUACCUACAAUUACAGAGGGUGCACUCCCAAGGUUAUGUAUAAUAAGGAUCCCAUAGGCUAAGAAUGUGUGGUUUCGAUCUACUUCCUUUUCCUCGUUGGGAUGUAGAUAUAGAGUAGUAUCACAUAUUCGAAGGCCUAUCAGAUCUAAGCUAUAUAUGAUUUGUGUACCCUAUGUAAUCGUAGCAGGACUCGAUAUGGAUCACNCUUCAGUGUUCGACAGAAGAGUUGAUUCAGACCCAGAAGAGGUUCAUUGAGAAGAUUUCCAGUUCAGAAAUAAAUGAACUAGGUCGAGACUAUUGAAAUCACCAAGUGCCUAUACCUUUUUAGGGACAUGGUGGGAAAUUCGCCUAAAAUUCUGAGAUUUCCAGUCAUCCAUCAUGAAGUGAUGACCCCCAGAGUCAGAAUCGGAAGUAAGACGGAGUAGAAAUUCAAUAUGUCUAUAGGAGAAGAUAACCCUAGGUAACUACCCGAAGGAAAUCAACGCCGGUCCCAGUCAAGGAUACGAGGUAGACAGAGGGAGCCAGUACAUGGAACCCGAGAAGUGUCUUUUCCUCGUGUUCGUCAUGCUAAUACAACCAUAAAAUAAUACAAUUUAGUGAGUUAUUGAUCACACUACUCACGCUAUGUGUUAGGUAAAUCGCCUUUUCCCGUUGCAAGUAAUACGAUUAGAGCGGAUCCCAACACCUCUAUUGAGAAUGUUUAGCCAUAAGUUUUCAUGAGCCUUUCUUCCCGCGGUCUUCGUUCCAAACUGUUCUCAAAUCUUUCCAAGCUGGAGAGUGAACCUUUCCCAGUAUAAAGGUAACUUAGUAGGAAUGACUCCCAUCUUAUGGCUUUUCUGAUACUCAUACUCCUACCUUGAAUACUCGGACUACAUCAUAGGGAUGUAGGUCGACACUCAGACAACCAAUAUCCGAGGCACGGGAAAAUUUUAUGCCGACUGUAGUAAAGAUGGAUACAUCAAGGGUUAACCAUCGUCUCUCAUCAUAUUGUAUUCCUUUCCGUGUAUGAAAAACCAUGCCUCCGAAGAAGCGUAACCAAUCCACUGGCAAGAACCUGACUCUCCUAUUCGAUGAAGCUACGUUCCAAGCUGCAGUCUCGGCAGNNNNNNNNNNNNNNNNNNNNNNNNNNNNNNNNNNNNNNNNNNNNNNNNNNNNNNNNNNNNNNNNNNNNNNNNNNNNNNNNNNNNNNNNNNNNNNNNNNNNNNNNNNNNNNNNNNNNNNNNNNNNNNNNNNNNNNNNNNNNNNNNNNNNNNNNNNNNNNNNNNNNNNNNNNNNNNNNNNNNNNNNNNNNNNNNNNNNNNNNNNNNNNNNNNNNNNNNNNNNNNNNNNNNNNNNNNNNNNNNNNNNNNNNNNNNNNNNNNNNNNNNNNNNNNNNNNNNNNNNNNNNNNNNNNNNNNNNNNNNNNNNNNNNNNNNNNNNNNNNNNNNNNNNNNNNNNNNNNNNNNNNNNNNNNNNNNNNNNNNNNNNNNNNNNNNNNNNNNNNNNNNNNNNNNNNNNNNNNNNNNNNNNNNNNNNNNNNNNNNNNNNNNNNNNNNNNNNNNNNNNNNNNNNNNNNNNNNNNNNNNNNNNNNNNNNNNNNNNNNNNNNNNNNNNNNNNNNNNNNNNNNNNNNNNNNNNNNNNNNNNNNNNNNNNNNNNNNNNNNNNNNNNNNNNNNNNNNNNNNNNNNNNNNNNNNNNNNNNNNNNNNNNNNNNNNNNNNNNNNNNNNNNNNNNNNNNNNNNNNNNNNNNNNNNNNNNNNNNNNNNNNNNNNNNNNNNNNNNNNNNNNNNNCCAUGUAUAAUUGAAAUGGAUAGACCUAGAGUGAGUGAUGCCGCCUCAUUUCCUGUUCCUUGUUUGGUUGUGGAUUUAAGGCGGGGUCGCUCAGUCAACAGUCCUUCCCACCUUAAUUAUACAUGACUAGUAUAUGUUAGGCGAUUAUAGAAAGGCCUCGUGAGAAUCCAUACAUGAAAGGUACCCUAUUCAGAAACACUCAUGACCCUCUACAGUUCCGCGUCGACUCUAUCGGUCCAAGUAUCCGUGACAGUGAUACACGGGAUGAAAGCACAUGACCCUAUCGACCCUCAUUCUAUAUCAUGUCGAAGUAUGCCAACUUCGACGCCUCUAUCAACCAUGGUUCGACUUAGUGCAACCGUGUGUAAUUCCCUAGUGUUGUGUAAAAAGAACUUUCACUGUAGCCAUUUUGGCAAAUAAAGGUUCUUCCGAACCUAAACAAAAUAAAAAUAAUAAAACCUAAUGCGAUCCGCCAGUCGUCCCUCUUAUUUCAAACCUUCCAAAGUACCCAGGAGAAGGGUACCGCGCUGUUAACCAACCCUUAUUAGAAAGAUAGAAACCGAAGCGAAAGACACUGCAGGUAUUCCAUAAGACGAUAACCACCCGAAGCAUACUCCGUAGAUCCCCCAGAAAGACCCUUCACACCUCGCAAUCAGGUUCGUGAAUCAAGAGGAUAGAACUCAUGGGACUAACCACGAUAACUGGGUAUAUGCAUAAGGGUGGUAUAUAAUUGAGAUCAAAAAGAUUUAAGAUGUGUGCUUCCUGUUUACUCCCUGUUCCUCGUUGGGUUGUGGGUUUGGGGUGGAGUCACACAACUGAACAUCCUGCCGACCUCAAUUAUAUACGGCUUGCAUACACCAAGUAUUAGUUGUAAGCCAAGCAUGAGAUCUACCACGAACCUCAUAGUAAAAAGCUUCACCCUAUUCCAUAGAAUAGGAGCUAGAGUCAAGAGAACCACGGCAGGUUGAGCUACUAUAAUGACCACGAAUCCGAAAUUUGUUGUCGUCCCGGUUAAGCCAACAUAGUAGCUAACACCCUCAGUUGGUAAGGAAAUCUGAGUCGUAAGAUGUCAAGUACAUUGACUAUGACCAUCCACUCACGCUUAAUCCCCCGAAUUAAGCAUCUCAGAGGAUAUCCCGGAAAUCCAGAAGUUGCGAUACGUUAACUCUUGAGAAGAGUGGAGGAAGAGAUUAAAAGUUUCGAGUGACGGAACCCUAUACUUCUAGACUUAACCUAAAUCAAGAAAACUCAGAACCACCGGAAGAGUAGUUGCAGAAUAUGUUCGCACUACUCAGGCACUUCGUCCACCCCGUUACCGACGAGAAGUGCCCAGGACACUCCGCCUCCCCCUCACAUGGAAGAAGUCACCGUCGCCCUGUAGAUAAUAGACUGCAUUCUCCGAAGUGAAUACUAGAAUGCCAAGAACCACAGGAUAACCUCCGCAGCCAAGAAUACUUGAUUUAAGUACGAAAGUAGGUUGCGUUAAGCCUUAUAACCCAGAUCCCGAAGAGAUUAUAGACUUGACACCCGUCUAGGUGUUAGUCGAUGGGUUAUACAAGAGCAUGCACUUUCUGCAACUGAAAUAAACCAACGCAUUAGAGAAUAGGGUAUGUAUUAGAGAUUCACUGGACUAAUAGGUGUUCCAAGAAUACUAUCUCACAUAGAAAUAGUAGAACCACCUCCCGAGAUAGUCCAACACUUCAGAAAAUCUCUAAGGAUUGAGUUAGCCCUGAACAGAGCCUGCUAUUCAUGAAACAGCAAGGCAAGUAAGAGCAUGAUCCUUUCCCGUUAAGAAUCAUAUUGUGAAAGCGCUAACUAGGCGAUAAUGUAAAGUCUAAAAACUUUCUAAGCACUCGUCUGGUGAAACCCUAUCUCCCCGACCCUGAGAGUUUCCGUUAGAAACAUCUCAAGAAUCAGAAAUGCAGGUUCAUUUUGCACAACAUUGAGAUAGACACUCUGCAACAAAUAGAUACCCGUAGAUAUCCGAUCCAUCCGAUGAUCCAGAAAACCUCUGAAAGCCAAUCAACAGGGAACACAAAUCCAAGGUCAACCCGAGCUUUCUAAGAACCAACCAGAAGGACUACACUCCCAGUAUGAGAGAACGUUUGGAACUUCGGAAUGGCGAUCACGCCAGUGAUGAUCUCGCCAUAGAAGUACACUAUGUUCUAAGUACUGAAAAGCUCUAACCUUCCGAGAGCUUAGGAUCAUCCGAGAUUCUUUACAAAGAUUGGUCCAACCCUCGUCAGACCACUACUACUUUCGGAAAUUCCACAAGUUUCACCCCAAAACAAUCCACUUCUUAGACUUGAUAAGUGUUUUCCCGACGUCACUCUUUGUAUCCCACUCAUCUUGAUAGAAACCAUUGGGAACCCUGACUUCGUAGACGAACCAGUAGGAAUCGCUAACUGCACGAAUCAAAAUCCGCAUCCCGUAAGUGAAGGUUGUUAGAACGCCAAGCAUAGGCUAGAGUUCACUUGGGAGUGCGAAGACCAACCGAAUAGGAAGUGCCCUCAUACCUCUACCCGAUUGUUCAUGAUUACUUCCUUGCCUAAACCUAAAUUUCGGGACGAAAUUCCCUCUAACGGGGGGAUGAUGUGACAACCCGAAAUUUAUUCCGUCAUUUUAACCACACCUUCCGUUAAUAAAACCCAAUUUAUUAAUUGUCUGUUAACCUUUUGGAAGAGGUUAAUUAAUUUGGGACUUUUAUAAUGACUUUGUAAGGGUUGAAACAAAUUAGAAACACCCUCAAAAAUCCCUUGAAAAGUUUUAGUUUCAACCAAGUCGAAAUAUGACCAUUUAAUCGGGUGCGACCAAAAGCCCCGUUUAACGUCAGUAUCAGGUAGAUUUCCACUGAGCCCCAACUCAAACCCCUAUAUAAGGGUGAGUGGAGUCCAUUUGAGACUUUCCACUCUCUCUCUACACUCUCUCUCUACACUCUCUCUCUACAAGUUGUGUUCGAUCCAAAAACGCCCAUUCCAAGCCCCAAACUAGUAAGUAAUCUAUCCUAACUUGUUGUGUACCUUAGUUAACAUGCAAAUUCGUGUUUAAGACAUUAAAUAGGGGCAAAUUCAUGUGUUUACGGCCUCUUGGACCGUGAACACCCUUAAGUGGGAUGUUUUGAAGCCCCAAAACCCCUCUAAACUACCCCUAGGGCUUAGAUAUGACUUGUGGACUUACACCUUCGAGCUUAGAACACUUAAACCUUGCAUUUUGGAGAGUAAACAUGAGUUUACGGCCCAAGAACACCCUUGGACCGUAAACCCCUCUUCAAGGGCCGUGAACACCCUUUAAGGUGUUAGAAAUGCCCUCAAACACCUCCUAUGGCCUGGGAAAAUGUCUAGAAACAACCCCCAUUGAAGUAAAGGCAUUAAACAUCAAUUAAACCAAGGAUUUAGGAGUUUACGGCCGUAAACCCCCCAAGAAUUGGUCCAUGGGCCAUAAACUCCCCUAAAUAGGCCAAAUGGUGCCGUAACUCCCCUAUAUUGCUUGGAAAAAUGUAUAGAACUUUAUUCUCUACCAUUUAAGACCUUAAUACACCAAAGGAAUGAACAUAUAAGAGCUUACAGCCGUAAACUCCUUGUUUAGGGCUGUAAACUCCUUAAAUGUUCCAUUUUGAGCCUUAAACCCCUUCAUAUGCCUUAUAUUUGGACCUAGCCUAAUUCUAUGAGUGAUAUAAGACCUUAAAGCAUCCAAGAGCACACCAACCAUGAGUUUACAGCCGUAAACUCAUGGGGAUAUGGGCUUAGGGCUGUAAACUCUAUAAAGAGUUUACUCUUGAAGAGUAAACUCCCUAUCUAGGCCAUACACUCCCUUAUUUGCAACCCAAUAGCCCCCUAGCACUUGACCAAAGUGUUUUCCGCACUUUAGGAUGCGUAUACGUGCUUAAUUAGUAUUAUAUUUACUAAUUGUAUGUAAACAUAUGUCUUCAUAUGUUAAUAGGUCACUAAGUGUGUUCAAGUCUUUACUUGACAACGAGCACCCAACCGGCACUUUCGUUCGAUCUACUUACAACAGGUGAGUUCAUACCCCUGAAUUAACCUUUUUAAAUGUUUUUACAUGCUUUUAUGGGGGGGAUACAAGUUAAAACAUGCUAGUUAUAAUGUCAAUCAUAUGUGAUUAAUAACCCGCAUGCACAAGGAUUUAUUAGCCUUUCAGUUGUUUUACCAAGUAUAAUGCUAUAGAUGGUUUUCCAAAACGUCUUUACUUGUUUAAAUAUUUUCUUAAAUUAUCUCUCGUGUUGUAUGUUUUACUUCUAAGCCGGUUACAACAGUGUUUUAAACAAAUGUUUUCUUUACUUAUAUUGUUUUAUCAAAUUAUAUUUUAAACGUGUUUAUGAACGAUUUUCAAACUUGAUUUUCAAACUGACUUCAAGUCGUAAAUUUCUUAUGUGUAAAGGUUUUUCCAAAGUGUUCAUCAAAGUUUUCUUCUAUACUUCUAUACUUCUGCUUCGUUAAAUGCAUGCCUGUACUUGUAUAGUUAUAUAAAUAAUGUUUAAAAGACUUAGGAAGGCUAGUUCCCUCUAUUUGCUUUUCCUCGUUGGGAUGUGGUCUGGUGGGUAUCGGAUAUCUAUCCGAAGGUUGUUUAAACAUUAGUUAUAUAUCAUGUAUACACGUAUAUACAUAAAGGUUUUCAUCGGCCAGUUCAUUUCCCUUGGGUAGCAAGGGCAUACUUCCAUUCAUCAUUCAUAGAUCAGAGACACUAGUAACUAUUAUAGGAAUAGUUAGGAGCCUUUAUUUACUCUUUUUAGUACUAGAAUUCCACAGGAGUCAGUUCAUACGCGAGUCUAUAUCAUUUCUCCAGCGCCUCUAACAAAAUUCAGAAUAUGAGAUGCAUCUUCAAGACAUGGAUCUCCCCGUUGUCGAGUUGGUAACCAGAGUCUCCUAUAGGGAGAGCGGGCAUUGUGUGUAUAGAUCUAUACGGGACUGGCACUCCCGCACCCUGACUGCUAGCUACAGUCCAUGGCCUACCAAUCCAAGGGGUGACAAAUGUCAUAUUUAUUCUGAAGCUUGCAGGGCGUCAAGUACUCUAGUGUCAAUCAGUAUGGUUACGAGUAUCUCCAUGUUUACCUUAUAAUUCAUGGCCUUAAGGUAAUGAGAAUCUAACAUUGUAUUCUUGAAACAACCCACUUAGGAUUUUCCCUUUGUUUUAGACCUUGCUAGCUGUAUCUUUUAUUGGAUACUGUAUGGGGUCUGUGUUUCUCUGAUUUGUAUGGGGUCUGUGUUUCUCUGAUUUAGACCUUGCUAGCCAUAUUGUACAUUUGAUACCGUCUGGGGUAUGUGUUUCCUUUUGUUAGACUGAGCCAGGCGUAUCAUUCAUUCGGUACUCUCCUGGAGUCCAUGAUUUCUUUUGCCUUAGUCAUCAGUAUUUUCUGCUGAGGCAUAUGUUAUUUUCCCUAAUGUUUUUACUAGUGAUAUUCUUCUACUUUCUUUAAAACCAAAUACCGUAUUUUGGUAAUGAUAUCAUUUCAGGGAAAGCUUCUCUUUAAAACAUAACACUGUCAAGUCUUAGUAGAAGACUGCUUUUAAUUAGAAAAUAUAGGAUUUUCUGGAAAUGACGCUAGUACACCGUAAAUUCUAAACUACUGUUUUUUAUAAAGUUAUUUUGAAUAAAAUACUUACUUACACAAAUGACACUAAAUACUUACGAACUCACCAGCAUUUAUAAAAAUGUUGAGACUCCCUUUCAAAAUAACUUGUAUUCUCAGGUCAGCAAUAGACAGGUACACCCGGGAGCUUUUGUGAAGCCAGCCUAGAACCGAGCUGCAUCUAUACUAGUUUAUGUAUUACUUUGAUGUCUCUAUAAACUGUAACUUAUGUAAAACUAUUACUAUUAAUUCAAUGGUUGUUGUACUUUGAUUACUAUACUGCAUAUGUUGUGAUACUUGACAUGACGUCAUCCACCACAGAACGUUUCCGCCGUUCCGGUUUUGGGGUGUGACAAUAACAUAUAUGGAAAAAUCAUUAUUUCAUAAGUAGCUUAAGAAACUCCAUCUUGGCUUCGUCGGUCGUUGGAAACAUAAAAGCUUCACGAUUUUUCUUUUUGGUGAAGACAAACAAUGCUUGUGAAAAAUUAUUGGACCCUUCACGAAAAUUGGGGAACUUGAUGACAAUGGCCAUGCAAUCUGCUAUUGUUGGGGACAUAUUAUUUUGUGGAUAAGUUUGUGUGCUUUUUGAUGAUAUGGCAUCCAAUAAAGCAUCAACUUUUUCUUCAUAAAUUGAAUUUUUAUUCUUGGUUGGACGGUUGUUGGAAACAGACUUAGAACUCUUCCUUUUACUUGAACUACUUUCAUGGAGACUAGUAAAAAGAGGCUCAUCAUCAUCUAAAUUGAUUUUAUCACUAUCUCCUUUGCCCUCCAUAUUUUCUUCAUUUGGAUUGCUAUUGUUUUGAAAUUGUAAUGGAGUCAUAGUCUGAUCUCCAACGGCAACAGAAUCCCGAAACAAAAUAGCAUAUUUCUCAUCAAAUAUGCUUAAAUCUGUGUUCCUAAAUUAGGCAUAAUCUUUAUUCUCCUGCUAGACAAAAAGAUAUUGUAAAUGAAAUAUGUUCAAUCUAUAUGCAAUCAUAACUUAAAAUAAUUAAAAAGAAUAGUAAUCAUACCUUUAUUUUCUCCUCCCACCACUCGGGGGACGCAUCUACUAGGCUUCUCGUCCCACCGAGUCUGGUUUCAAGCCUCAUUAAGCGGUCAUAAAGUUUCCACUCUUUUUUCAUGUUCUCCAAUUUGUUUGUUAGUUGUUUUUUUUUUCAAGGCUAUAACCUGUUUUCUCCUUAAUGUGUUUUUGUAUAUUUCCCCACCCAAUUUUAUCAAAGGAAGAAGUGGGUUUACGGCUUUUUUUUUUCAAUCAAACACGAAUCAAUAAACACCAUGAAGCUACGAUUAUCCCACCCAAAUUUUGGUUUUUUCAUUUUUAAAGAUGUUUCGCAAUCAACAAUUGUAGUGUUGUUUUCAUCCAUUAUCUGUGAAUUACAUACAGUAUCAACAUUUAAGCAACAAACCUAUUUCAUUAACCUUUCUAAAUGAUUUCAUUAAUUUAUCAAAAUUCUAAUCAAAACAUAAAAAAUAGAUUAUCACAGCAUAUCAAUUUCACAAAUCAGUCAUCUGUUAACACAAAUAUCAUCCGUGAACAAAAAAUUUCAUCAGCUUCAUAUUUCAUCAAUUUCACUAAUAUUUCAUAUUUCAUCAAUUUCACAGUUUAACAAAUCAGUCAUCUGUUAAUUCAUUUUUCAUCAAGUUUACAAAAUUUUUGGACUAUUUCACAGCACAUUUACACAUUUCACAGCAUCAAUUUCAGAGGCUAGAGAGAAGAAUCGGGAGGAACAAAUCACUAUUUCACAGCACAUUUACACAUUUCACAGCAUUAAUUUCAGAGGCUAGAGAGAAGAAUAGUUCAAGGAAAAUUCGAAAUCGGGAGGAGCACAUUUCACAGCACAUCAAUUUCACAGCAUAUCAAAUACACAUCAUAUCAAUUUCACAAAUCAGGAGGAACACUUUUCUUUGCUACUAAAAAUCGGAAAUAGACAGGAAGAGAUUGUAACAUCUGAGAUCGGAAGUCGACUGGGAAAGAAAACAAACCUGAUUGCCGGUGUCUCCGGUGUCGUCGGUGGAUGUUGCAGGUCGAGAUGCGAGAGAGAUAUGUGGGUGAGCGGAGAGAACGAGGAGGAAGAGAAGUAAUGAGAUUCGUAUAUGUGAAAUGUGAAUGAAGUUAAUUAGGGUAGAUAAGGGGUAUAUUGGUAGUUUCUAAUUUUUAGCUGGUGAAAAGUUGGGAAAAGUCACGUAAACGUGACUUUUCAAAAAGCUUCAAAUUACUCUAUGGGAAAAGUCACUUACAAAAGUCAUUUUCACCUUACCAAACAUCUUUUUGGACUUUUUCUAAAAGAUAAAGUCAAAAGUCAUUUUAAAAGGCAAGCCAAACACCCCCUAAGACAUAAUCUUCCACUACUAUAAUACUCCUUUUCUCGCCACAUAUUUUCAUUUUCUUUGUUUAGCUUCAAUUUACAUUCAAAACACCUCUAAUACAACUUUAGAUACUCAAUUUACUCAUAUUUCAUGAAUUAAUAAUCUAUAUACUUUCAUUUGACAUAAUAUGAACUUAAUUCAUCAAAACCACUUACUUCAAAUUCUAGGGUUCAUAGCAAUUUCAUCUUCAAAUUCAAGUAAUUAGCUACAAUUACUACUCAAUACACUUGGAAUCAUGUUAUUAUAACUUCUAUUAACUGUUAUACAUCAAAUUUUCAAAAUAGAAAUCAAUUGGUAUAAUUAGGGUUAUCAAACCCCAAACUUGUAUGCCUUAUUCACAAUUACAUCAAAAUUUCAAAAUAUAACUAACUCUUGAUUCUAAAAGUGGUAAGUGAUACUUUGCUAGCUUCCUCUAAAUCUCCCAUUUUAUUUCCUUGAAAAUCCGGUUAAAAUAUUCUUUUCUUCGUGUUUCUCUGCUCUGGAACGAAUAAGUGAGAAAUGAACUUUUAAUAAGUCUCAUAUGUUUUUAUAAGAUUUUUUUACUCAUCAACAACUCUGUGUUGCGGUUCUUCUCUUGUCGCGUCGUGACAUGUAGUACCACGUAUUCUUUUUACCACAUCACUGUUUCUUCUCCAUUUAUGACACUUUGCAAUUUGUUGCUUAAAACUUAGUCAUCAAAGUUAUGUCAUCCUACUUUCAACCGCGUUGCGGUUAACCUUCUUUAUGUUGCGUUAUUUUGAAAGUACAUUGCCUUCAUUGUUUAUUUUAUGUCAACCAUUUUCUCGCCUCCCAAAACACGUUGUCGUCCCUCUUUUGUCGUGUCAUGUUUAUAAUUACAAGAGUUUCCAAUCUUCGAUUUUUUCCAUUUUACCAUGCCUAAAUUUUUUUACUUCUUAACCCAUUAAGAUCUUUGCAUUAAGAACUUAUUUAUCUUAUAACAUAUGUUAAGUUAUACUAUUUCUCUUUUUAUAACAUUAAGAAAUCUACUCAAAAUUUGAGAAUUACACAAAAUGACCAAAAUACCCUUUUUGGUCUAAACAUUGUUAUUAUAACAUCACUUAACUCCUAACACAUACACUUUGACAUUUAACACUCUCAUUACAUUACAAAUUAUAACUUACUCAAAACAACAGGAGUGUCAAACAUACCACCAUAACUACCAUAUCUUGCAUCUCCUCUAGUUACGUUACUUGACAUACACCAUCGACCUUCCUCAAACCUGUUUGGACCCCAUUCUCCCUGAAAUGACGAUUUUGUUGUUCCAUAUCUCAUUGUUCUUCUUUGAGGUCAUUGAACCACCUCUACUUAAAAUUCGAGAGCUACACAAAGUGACCAAAAUACCCUUUUUGGUCUAAGCACUUUUAUUAUAACAUCACUUAACUCCUAACAUAUACACUUUUACAUUGUACACUCUCACUACAUUAUAGAUUAUAACUUAGUUAAAAUAGAAGGAGUGUCACACCUACCACCAUUGACUACCCUAUCUUGCAUCUCAUCUAGUUACGUUACUUGACAUACACCAUCGACCUUCCUUAAACAUGUUUGGCCCUUAUUCUCCCUGAAAUGACGCCUUUGUUGUUGAAAUGAUGCCUUUGUUGUUCCAUAUCUCGUUUUUCUUCUUUGAGGUUAUCGCCCACCCUCACCACCCCCUAUAAUUUAGGGAUAACGAAUAGAGAGUGAUGAAGUUGAUGACACGUAGUAGGAAUUUGGUAAUAAAUCUUUAGGUUUUUGUAAGUGACGAUGCUUCCAUUUUUGUUUCUCCUACUAACCAUUUUUCGAAACACAGAUUGGUGAUGGAUUUGGGCAAGAAUUUCUUUGGGUUUUUGUAAUAGUUUUGCAAUUUGAUAUUAUUAGGCAUCAGACUUUGAUUCUAGUAGGAUUUGUAAUGAUUUUUUUUGGGUUUUAACUACUUUUUUUGUGUGUGUGUUUGUGUGUAAGAUCGACUGUAAAGGGAUUUUUAUUUUUCAAUCAUGGAUGCAAAAUGAAUUUUCUUUUAUUAUAGUUGGAGAGAUUGAAGAUAGAUGAUGAAAAUUGAGGUGGGUAAGUACCGAAAAACCUACUAGCUAAAAAAUGUGGUGGUGAUGGUGAAAGGGGAAAAAGAGAAGGAAAACGAAAGGGUGAGGUGGGUAUAUGUUAUGGUACCAUGUUUUUACAUGAGCCAUGGAUCAACUGUACAAAAAUUGAAGCAACUAAGACUAAUGUGUUAAGAAAAAAAAAUUAGGGACUGAAAAUAUGAAUUUGGUUAAAACCUAGGGACCAUUUACGUAAUUAGGCUAGAAAACUAUAAGGACUAAGUUUGUAAUUUACUAUUCUUUUUCUCAGUUUAGGGAGCCGGUAAGUGAACAAGUAAUCCGCUAGAUCAACCAAGCCAUCAACUUGCUGUUAGGCUGCUGACGUGUCAUCAUAACAUACAAAUCAUCUUGACAUUAAGUACCAGCCGUUGAUUUGCGACUUUGUAGUGGAAGUUUUUUUGCAGGGUCCCCCUUCUUGUAAGGAAACCAAACCAUAAAGAUAAGCGGGUCUGCCCUUAGGGUUUGUUUCCCGACUCCUGUUCCAUUCAUUUCUGUUCUUAACCUUUUAUCUCAAUUCACCUAUCAUUUGAAUUCUUAAAAGAUUUUGGAUCCAAUCACUUUCACUCAUUAGACUCUUAAUAAUUGUUAUUUUGGUGGUUUCUUAGCCAAAAUCGUCGUGGCUGUUUCAUCUAUGGCGUCGAUUGGUAAGACGAAUUAUGAAUCGGAAGCGGAUGAUGCUAAUAACACCGUCAAAAUUUUAUCAACAUCUGAUCCAACGAUGUUGAAGGAAGAGCCGGCGGAUAGCGAGUUGGGGGGAUCGAUACCGGUUGCAAUGGUACCCGUGUCAAUGUCUCAGAAACAAAUGACGGUGGCGCCGCCCCGGAGGAGUUCUAAAGACCGUCAUACGAAGGUGGAGGGACGCGGUCGACGAAUCCGCAUGCCGGCUGCUUGUGCUGCGAGAAUCUUCCAAUUAACUCGGGAACUCGGUCACAAGUCAGACGGAGAGACGAUUCGGUGGUUGUUGGAGCACGCAGAGCCCGCUAUCAUUAAAGCCACCGGCACCGGGACGGUGCCGGCGCUCGCUGUUAAUGUUAACGGGACGUUAAAAAUCCCGACGACGCCAAUCGAAGAAGGAGGUGACGUUAAAAGACGAAAAAGGGCUUGUAACAGCGAGUUUUAUGAUUUGAAUGUUGCCGCAACUUCCAAUUUUGCCCCCAUAGCGCCGAUUGCCCCACGAGCGCUCGUGCCGUUGUGGACCAUGUGUGCACCACCGACUAACGGCGGGACUUUCUUCAUGAUUCCACCGUGUGGGGCCACCGGGGCAACCACAUUCCAUCAGUCCCAGUUGUGGGCCAUACCCACCGGGGUAACACCUGUUUUCAAUGUCCCAUCAAGACCCAUGACUAAUUAUUUGCCGGAAAUGAAACCGGUGGUGGAUAUCAGUGGUGGUGAAGUUCAGACGCCGGCGGUGAGUUCAAGUUCGAUUUCAAUUUCAACGAGGAGAACAGCGGAGGUUGUUAGGGAUCUGUCAUUGGAGCUUGGUGAUAAAAGAGAGCUUCAAUUCAUGGAAGGCUGUUCAAAAGAUCAAACGCCGCCUGCAAGUUAAUCAAUCGGCCAAUUCUAGUCCUCUUCUUUGUUUUAGUUGCGUUAGAACCAUGAAAGUUAUUUUUUUUCUUUAGAUUUGUAUCCUUUUUUGUUUCUCUUUUUCCAUAUUAGCCUCACUUUGUGCUUUUUCUGUGUAAAUGGGUUUUUACUUUUUAGAACAUAAAAGUAGGUAAAAGUGACAUUGUAUGUAUAAUUUUCUGUAAUUAAAUAUUAGUACGAGAAAAUAACUUGUUUACAUGACAUAAAAUUAUAUAAUUAUUUCUAAAGGGCUAUUCAUUACAAUGAAUGAUCUUUUUUCCCCAUUGAUCGCAAAAAGGUUAUUUAUAUCAAUGGAAAAAGUUAACGAAUUAAACGAGAUUUUUUUUUUUUUUAACAUUGGAAGAUUAUUCUUAAUAAAAAUCUUGUUUUUAGGCCAUGAAUAUACUCAAGCUUGUGAUAUUUUCACAAAUAUCAUGUUUUCUGUGAGUUGCUAAUAAAAUUAUUUUUAAAAAUGUAAAUACAAUAAGUAAUAAGUAAUAAGACAAGUGAUACGAUAUAGAUAAGAUAUAUGGUUUCAACGCCUAGAGUGUGUUCAAGUUUCAUUGUUGACUAUACUUUUUGGAUAAUUUUGUUAAGUUUUUGUUUGUUUAUAUUAUUAGGAAAUGUUUAUCUUGGCAAUUUUGAAUGUUUUCAAACUUGUGAACCAUUAGCCUCAGUAAAAAUCUUUUUGUCAUAUAUCACAUUCUUUUUGAUUUUGUCUAAUGUCAUUUUGUGGUUAUUUUCAAUUAAAUCUUUUCCACAUGACAUUUUGAGAUUGUUUUAUUUUUAUUAAAUUUCAUAUAAUAUUUAAUUAAAUGUAUUAAUUGCACUAAAUAUAAUAAUAAAUGCAUAUCAAUUUCAUUAAUUGACUUUUUUUUUUAAUUUUUAAAUUUCUAAAUUAAAACUCAUUUCUUUGUUUAUUUAUCUAAAUUAUUUGCUUAAAUUUAAAAAAGAAAAAAGUAUUUUAAUUUUAAUAAUUCAAUAUAUAUAUAUUUUUCUUAUAAAUUCAAACUUCUAAAAUAUUUAGAAUGUCAUAUUUAAUUUGUUUUUUUAAAUGAACUCAUGUAAUACAUAAGUGUUACACCUAGUUUAUUUAAAAAAAGAACUUAAAUCUCUUUUUAUUUUUUAUUUCUAUUAAUGUUCACACUUAUAUAAAAUACAGACAAUGAAAUUCAUUAAUCAUCUCUUCCUCUUGAUUUAGAGAGUUACCUUAAUUUAUUGAAAAUAAAAAUAAAUAAAAACAAAAGAUAAAAGAUAGAAAGAUAUUUGAUUUUUAAUAAAAAAAAUUGUAUCUGUGGUUUAUUCGCAACAUUAUGGACCUAAAAUUCAUGAGCUUUUUGCACGACAGAUCUUUUGUUUCAAAAAAAAUCACAAAUAUAAGAAAAUAUGACUAGUUAGUUUUUUGUAUAAAAAUUAACAAAAUUCUAAAUAAUGUAAAAAGUGACUUGUCGGGCUAUGUCAAACCUCAAAUUUUUCCGAGCUUUGACGAGUCACAUCAUUUGUAAGGUGUUACUUAAAACGACAAUUUUGUAUAUAAUUAAUAUUUUAUAUGUAUUUUUAACUAUUAUUCUAUUUUAUAUACAUAUAUGAGAUAAAACGGCGUUUUGGUAAAACUUGAUGACAGAUAUAAGCCUUAGAAUCAUGGCGCGCCAUGGCGGAGUCAUUGCGAGCUUUAUAGAACCUUGAAAAUUAACGACCUAUUUAACAUUUCAUUCAUAAUAACACAUCUUAAUUAUUUUAAUAUAUUAUGUGUCAAAUAGUUUUUGCAUAUAAGACCGGUUGAAGUUGCUACGACCUCUAUCGUACCUCUGAUAUCACAUAAGCACGAACACUGCCCCCUUGACUGCGGUUAGGACGCGGCUAAGGCCGCACUAUGGUAUCUAUGGGAGCGCCCCUUCCUAUGUUUUCCAAACUUAAUGACCGUUGAACGGUCGAAAUUUUUUAAGAUUUAUUUAUUUAUUUAUUUUCCUUUUUAACCUUUACACACUCCUAUUUAAACAGCUCAUACCUUAUAAAUUUUUAACCAAACAAACUCACAAAUACUUCAUAUUUUAUCAUCUUUUUGUUUCCAAAACCUUUGAAAAUGUCAUCCUCCAAAAAAACAUACCAAAUAAAAAACUCCUACUAGAAACCCCACAACCUCAAGACCUUCAAGCGAUCAUCUGAUUUAUUGCCCACUUUUUACCAAUAUGACAGUAUGUUUCCAUAUUAUCCACAAACACAAGCACAACUCGACCCAGAUUUUGAUCAUUUUGAUUUUGAUUCUCAACCGGAGUUUGUUUCACAAAUACAACCCGAUUUUUUUCCCCAAACACAAUUAUAACCACACCAUUUCUGAAUCUGAACCCGGAUUUGUUCAACAAAACAACCCGCUCAACCAUAAAAAUAAAAGAAAAUAAAAGGCCGAAGUUAAAAUGUGGGAACCCCAAGAAGUGUUAGUAUUGACACAAUCAUGGAUUGACUUAUUAGAAUACGUGAUGACGAGAGCAGAGCAAAAACAUGACAGUUUUUAGAUGUGCGUUAGAGAUAAGUUACACAAAGGAAUGAACAUAUACCUAUAUCGCUCUAAACAUCAAGUCUACUCGAAAUGGAGAAAGAUGAACAAAGAAAUCAUGUUGUUUAACAGUUUGUAUAAUAACAUGAAACGACAAUGGAAAAUUGGCGAAAGUGAUGAUGUGAUUUUGGAAAAUGCUUUUAGCAUUUACCAAAAAGAGCAAAACAUGACUUUCAAGUUUUAUGAACUUUGGAAUCUACUCAAAGGCAACAAAAAUGUCAAAAUCAAAAAACAAUCGACGAGCACAUCGAUAAUGGCUCAAAACAGUCAAGAACUUUCGAAUCCGAUCACACUACAUCGGAUGCUCGUGUAGCUUACGACCUCAACGAUGAUGAACCCAUUCAAGUGUCACACCCUCCUGACCGAUGGUAAGGGACAAAGCAAAAAAAACAAAGGCAAGGGCAAAGCGUCGGGGUCGGAUGAAUUGAAAGAAAUGGGUGACAAUGUGCAAGGCAUAAAAGAUCGAAUUGAUGAAUUUUUGCAAUUUGUUUCGGAUAGAGAGGCUCAGAAACAAAUGGACAACGACAUGAGGGUGCUAGCGAUGGACACGUUGAAUAUGACGAUGGAUGAGCUUCAAGUUGUUUUGGCGAUGAAAGAAGACGUCAAAAAACGUUAUGUUAAUCAUUUGAUGUGUGUGUUUUUAUUUAUUUAUUUUUAAGUUGUAGGUUUAAUAUUUCUAGUUUGUUUUUUCUAAACUUUUAGUUUUUUUUUUAAGUUAUGCAAUGUAAUGGUACUUUUAUAUAUAUAUAUAUAUAUAUAUUAAAUAAGUUUUUAUUUAUUAAAUAAAAAAAUCAAAUGUGACAACAAACUACACUUUAUUAUAAAAACAUACAUGACACCUAUAUGACAAUAUGGUUUCAUAAAGAAGUGUGAGGCCAUUCCUUCUCCCUAACAUUUAAUUAAAUUUCAUUUUUAAUUAAUUUACUUGACUUCAAAGGCAACUUAAAGGCCAAAAACUUAAGAGCAAGAAGUUAGUAAAUAUGUGGAAGAUGGGUUCCACUAUGGACCAUGGAGUGAAGGUCACCAGUAAUUAAUGCGCCCUUCUUCCGCGUGUGAAUGCUUUGCUUUGAGCUGCGUGCUUUAGGCACGUGAUGGUUUGGUUUAACACGUGCAGGGGUGGGUCUCGUGGGUCCCGAUGGAGUAACAGUGGGACCAUGUCACUGAGAUGCUGUGCGGGUGCGUAUUUAGCCCCACAUUAAUUUCUAUGCGGACCCCUACAUGAGUACAUGCUACAUGUGGUGCUUUUAAACUUUUUUUUAUUAAAAUAAAAGACGUGUACAUGGGUAUAUUCUUUGAAUAUUACAUUAGAUAUAAUUAUUUCAUAAUUAAUUGUAACAUAAUGAAUUGCAUAAAAGAUUAUGUUUAUAUAUAAUUUUACGAGCAAUUUCAAAAAUAAUCGAAACACUAACUCUGUGCCAAAAAAUUAUCAAAAGAAAAAAAUGUUUUUCAAAAAUUAACAAUCUACUUACUCUAACAUCUGUCAUGUUCUUUAUAGAUUGGUCUUUAAUUCAAAUACUCAUGAUAUUUUUGUAAUUUUACCUUAGCACAUAGUAAGUUGCUUGAGUUUACACUACCCCAGCUUCUGACUGGCAUACAUUUUAUGAA
RNAcentral lists this long non-coding RNA (77269 nucleotides) under Lactuca sativa (garden lettuce). RNAcentral describes it as "long non-coding RNA (LSAT_LNC007822)". The record is from RNAcentral. Lineage: Eukaryota; Viridiplantae; Streptophyta; Magnoliopsida; Asterales; Asteraceae.